GGGAGGUAUGAUAGUGAGAAGGGGCUGAGACAGUUUCAGAGCGAGCCAGAGGCAGAGAGGAGAGGAGGAGGAGGAGGAGGAGGCAGCAGCAGCAGCAGCGAAGGAGCAGCUCUCCUCUUGAGUCUCCAUCCCAGAGAAGAAGACGGGGAGGAAGAAGACGGGGCGAAGUCGACGGUCCUGCCCGCCCGCCUGGUGCAUCCUGAAGUUCAAUCCAAGAGGUCUGCUGUGAGGUAUGUUAAGUCUCUGUGUCUCCUUUGUGCCUCUCCUCUUUUCAUCCCUCUCAUCCUUUUAAUCAGGACUGUGAACCAGCAGCAGUCAGACGCCGGGGGUGUGAAAGUGUGUGUGCAAAGAUCCUGCCAAGUAUGAGGCUUUUUCAGCAGCAGGUUGCUCCCUCUCUCUCCCUCUCUCUCCCUCUCUCACUCUCGAUGUGUGUGCGCGCACGCUUGGAUGUGUGUACGAGUAGAUGGAGCAAAAUAGGGUCUUAUUUAUCAAAAUGUCAGCGCAGAUUUUGCUGAGAUGGGGCUUCUUUGACAUUUGAAGACUGAUAACAUUUCCGGCAAUCAGAUUCAUCGCCAGCAAAGUGUGACCUGAUGCUUAAAAGCAUACUGGGGGGAAAAAAGGGCAAAAACUUGGUGUUUUUGUUCUUUUCCCUCUGAUCUUUUACUCACAUUUUACAGAAUUCAGCAACCAGACCUUUAAAGACAUUUGUAUGUAUGCUCAGUUUACAGCAUUUUCUACUCCCAUGUUAAGUUUGACUUUUGUAAACACUCAUUUAUAGUUUCCAGAAAUGAAUCAUUUUUGAUGGUUUCCUACUCAGUUUACUUUAUAAAUAUGCUCUUCUGACCGUAUUACAGUAGUAGUAAAUGUGCUCCAUCUCUCACGAGGUGUUAGACCUUUCAGACACUUCUAGGAAAUGAUGAAUAAAUGCACUUUAUAAUGCAGCUGCACACACAAAUACAUCUGAAUGUGCCAAAAAAAAGAAGUGAAAAGCCUUUUUUAUGAACUCACCGGGCUCUGUGGCGAACAGACUGUUCCUCUGAUCAAAGUCCCCCCUGAGUAUCUGUCAACCACUCUCUUCAUUAGUGCCAUUAAGGACACUUUAAUGUUAUCAGGCUCAUCGGUGAUAUCGAUCUGCUAACCUGCUCCCAGGGGGGCAAUAGCCUAGACAAGCCAACCUAUAGUCUUAAUCCGUGGCUGUGCUCUUUACAUGCAGCAGGUAGUGUUUCAGAGCAGAGUGGAGAAUUAUUGAGUGGACUAGCGCAGGGACGGUCUUUGUGCAGAUGUCAUGAUGUCAUAGCGAGCGGCUGCGUGGUCGAAUAUGUCUUCAAAUUAGGAAAGAGGUGGACCAACCUAUUGUGAUGAUGAACUUAGAAUAAGACUGAGGAGUAGAGGUGAUUUGUGAAUUUACUGUGCUGACUGAAGUUGGCUUGUGGUACAGAGUAAAAAAAUGUAACUCUGUGGGCUUUAUAUGAAGAAUUUUACAGAAAAAUGUAAAUGUUAAGUGCAGCUGUAAUUUUUCAGGGUCGUUGUUGUAGAGCAGCAGUUGUGCUGUGGCGGGGUUACACGAUUUCAUCUCAUUUGGAUGCUUUUACCCAUUUUUCUGCACAGACUGUUGUUAGUUAGUUUUCUAUAAGAUUAUCAGACAUAAAAUGCUGAGAUUAGAGAAAUAAAUUUACAAGCAAGUCAUCGAUCAAAAUGUUCAUGAUUUCAGUUUGUAUUUCUGUUUCUGCUGCUGUUUUGUUCCAGCACAGUUCUCAGUGGUUUAUUAUAUCUGUCUUAUUAAAAAAGGAGCCUGAACAAAUGAUCUUUAUAAACUCAAAGCUUAAACAGUCUUUAUAUCCUUAUUUCUUUAGCUGGUAUGAUUUGCAUGAUACCUGUUGAUGAGCUGAGGCUUUAAAAGACGAUCCAUCCUCACAUCUUGAUCCAGAUGACGUAUGAUAGAAAUAUCUCGCAUGUCAUUUGACAGAUUUGUCUCAUUAUCAUGCGAAUUAUUCAUCUUUUGAUUGAGGAUUAUCACAUUGAGCCUUUUACAUUUUAAUUUGUAUUUCUGGGGCUGUGACUAAUCUUCAUUUUCAUCAUUCAUUUAACAGGCUGAUUAUUUUUCAGAUGAAUUGAUGAAUUUUUCAGUCUCUUAAAUAUGAUGUCAUGGUAAAGAAAGUCUAUUUUAGGGAUUGCAGAGCCUCAAAGAAAUUCAGCCCCCUUUAGGGAAAUCCUCAAAAUACAAGUAUUGAUGGUCUGAGGCUGGAAAACCACAAUUUUUUCAUUUUUAUUUUCCUGAUCCUGUAAAGUAACACAUAAUAAUGUUUAAAAUAAGCUGUACUCACAUUUUUAAGUAUCUCAUAAGUGAUAGACUAUCAAAUUGUUGUUGCUUUUCUUUGUUGUUGAAAAACUGAUGAAGUCACAUCGUGUUACAGCUCUGCUUCCUGCAUCACCUACUAUCAAGCUGUGAUAAUCCGGGUUCAGUUGCAGUUGUAGCAGAGUUGGGGUCAGACUGUACUCCCAGUAUUCCUACAGUAGAUGCAUGUAUUCAUGUGCCUGUGGGCAGCAUCUGUGUUUGUGUGGACCAGCGUGUGCAUGGCAAGGAAAGUAUAUGGAGAUCAAUGCAAGCAGCUGUUCCCUCUGCACUUCAAACACCGCUCUGUUGUUGGUGCAUCAACGCUCCGACAGGCCUCGCGCAAGGGGAUCAAAGGCUAAUGAGACAGCCAUCGCACAAACGCACCCGGCAGACCCAUGAAUAUUGAUACGGCUCGGGAGGGAGAGACAUGGAGGCAGGGUGUCUUUACUCACUCUAUAGCAGCAUGAUAAAUUAGAAAAGUGGGGGGUGGUGGUGUUAGGGGGACUUCAGAUCUUAAAAUAUCACCAGAGUGUGCGGAUAUGAGCUAAAGAAGCAGAUCUGAUCAGAGAUUUAUGCUGAACUUCGAAAUGUGUUGAAACAUCGAUGCUGUGUUACACGCUCACAUAAAGUUAGUUACAUCAACUUACAGUGCUGUGGGUCCAACAUAACACUGUCUCAACUCCUACAACAACUCCUACACUGAAAACUUAAGUACAGAAGUUUUGAAAAGGUCUGAUUCAUGAAUUUAUUCAGUUAUUAAUGUCAAACAAAAAAGAUUAAAGUCCCAAAUGUGGACAGUUGUUUAUCUGCAGCCUGCAGUACAAAUAAAAUGUUUUGCAAUUUGGUUUAAAAGUAUGUAUAUAUAUUUUUAAACAUUAAUAUCCCUAAAAGGUCAUAAUAGAUGGCUUGUAAAAGGAUCUUAUUUUCUUACUUGAGUAGCUUAGUGUAAAUGAUUUAUUGAAGGUUGAUCAGUCUCUAAUUCAAACCAAUGUUACUUUUAGCAAUUUUUACUGGUUCUGUCGUAUUCUCAGCCUUAGGACAAAAAUGUUGUGUAGUCUCAGCUUUAUUUCUCUUGGUUUUUGUCACAUUUCAGUUUUGGUCAAUACAAAGUUAUUACAUUUCAGUCAUUUCUUCCUGUUAAAUCGUUUUCUCUGUUUUUUCAAAUUUAUUUUGCCAAUCGGACACUGGUAUCGCAGUUGCACAAAUGUUAAAACCUGCAGCAUUUCCCUCUCUGAACACUCUAGCUUGAAGCAACUCUGGAUUCAUUACCUUAGUUGCAUAAUGAAGCCUGAAGAAUCUCACAUUGCGCAAAGCUGUUGAGCCGUUCUGCUUAAAUAAAGGAAAAUGCAUCGCAUACAGGUAAAAGUGGUAACAUAGAGGAGUGACACUGACUCAGUUAGGGAAAAAAAACUUCGUCUCUGACCACUAAAGCUUUCUUGGACUUCAAAUAAAUGUGUUUGAUGAUUUAGAGUUAGUCAACACUUUGAAAUGUCACACUAAAUAUGUUCCCUUACAUAUCAACACACGAGGAUAAAUCAACACCAGAGCUCAAAAAGUAAUAAAAAAAAAAAACUUUUCAAGUUUAAGAUACAUUAAGGCGGUGUGAGUUGGUACUCAUGGUUCAAGAAAAUGAACACCUCCUCCUUUCAGCCAUUUCAGCCAGAAGACAUUGAAUGUACAAUGACAUCAUUAACAACAGAGAUUUCCAAUAUCUAACGGUCCGCCAAUGACAUUUCAGAUUUGUCUGAAACUACAACAUUUUGGCUUUAUUGGGUCUGACAGCAUAAAAGAGAAGAGAGCGGGGAUCGACGUGCAGUAAAUGGUCACAGCAAGGAGUUGUAGCAAGGAGAACUAGCCUCUUUUUUAAGGGCCGUGUGCUAGGUCAAUGGGUCCAUCAACAUUUUUUCAUAAAUCCCAUUUAAACGCAGAGCCUGGCCCACUUGAGGGAAAAAAUGUACCUGUACCAUUUUGACGCCCAAAAGAAGUUUGAAUUUCAUCUUCAAAUGCUUGAAUUUUAAGUGAUUACUCUACGUUCAACACACAAAAAUAAAAAUACAAAUCACAGAAGUGCUAGGCAAAAUAACCAAUCCAAUGCUGGUUGUUACCCAUAACUGAUACAAGACUUUUAUCAUACCAUAAAGAAAUUGCUUGAAGAUGAUAUUAAAAUCCUCUUUUUGCCCUUAAAUCCAUUUUCUGUCUUUUAACGGAAUAAUGAUUUAGAGAAGAGGAAAAAAAUCCAUAUUUUCAUGGGCAACUUUUACAAACACGUUUCAGCAGUCACUCCUCCAGUCAGUAAUGAUUCUGUGCCGACAGAACAAACCUAGUUCAACGUUUGUUUUCUUCACUGAAACACAAUCCUCAGUGUCUUAGAUCACCGCAGGGUGCGUCCUCCAAGAAAAAUACCCUGUGUCUCUUUCCUUUUGGUGGUUUCAUUGAAAAGUUUACCGCCUGAACGUCAUCAGUCUGUUCUCACGCUGGUUGAUGGGGACAUGACGUUAGAAUUAAUUCCUUGUCUUGCAUUAUCCAUCUAAACAUCAGCGCCCUUUGGCUAAGUUUGUGAAAAACAGCUAAAUAAGCCAAAAGUGACAUUCAGGAUUUCACCAUCCAGGAGAUCCAACUGAAGGGAGAGAACACAAUGAAAUGUUUCUCUUGGUGGUAUGUCAUCUCAGACCAUUCCUGCUGUCAACAGGCAGGCAAAUAGACGGUAGAAGGAGCAGGAGCACAUCGGCAGGCAGGCAGGGAGAGGGAGACGAAUGCUUCAGGAAGGCCGUCUCCAGCGCGUGGGCGACCGUGCCUCUGUCUUGACUUGGGCUCGUAAAUCAAGCCUCCCCUCCGGGGCCUAUCUUCCAUCCUCAGACCUUCACAACAGCUUGUUCUGCAGCCUGUGACGAGAGGGGCUGUUGUCAUAGGAGCUAUCGAUCGUGUGGGAUGAGUUUGUCGGACCGGGGGAUUUCACCCAUCUGAGCGUGGUCACUGAAGUGUCCCAUCUUGUCUCGGUGUCUGUCUGCAGGCUACAUGUUCUGUCGAAUGCCAAGUCCCUACCAGCUGCUGUCAGCUCCGUAUAUCACACAGUUUCUUCCCACAAAAGGAGGGAAAAGAACAGGGUUUCCAAAAAGUGUUGAUAAAACUUAAAGAAGUGAUGCCGCUGUUUGGAUGCUAAAAUAUUUAUGUUUUUUUUCUCUGGAUCUUUGCAAAUUUGAUGAUUUGUGCCUUUUUAGAAGUGCGACUAUAUUGGCAGCUCAUACCGGGUGUUUCCUUUCAUCCAGUGCAUGCUGGGAUUGGUUCCAGACCCAGUUGGCGCCAAACUGAGAUAAAAUGCAUGAAAUGUUGAACAUUUAAAGGAACAGUUUGGAGAAAAUUCCAGAGGAGAAGAUGGAUGCCACAGCCUUUUCUAAAGAAGCUGCUGCCAGGAGCUGGUUAGCAAAAUUCAGGCAUACAUUUAAACGUACAUGUAAUCGGGAGGGCUUAUAUGUUAACAUCUUAAAUGUUUCAUAAUCAAAAGAAAACCAAUUUUUUAACUGGAGGGCAAUAUGCUGGACUUCAUGUUUGGCAUGACUUUAGCGGGUUGUAAGGGCUGAUGAUGAACAAUCACUAGUUCAGCGUUGUUCACACUUCAUCUGCUUGUUAGCGAGAGUUGAAGAAUCUCGACUCCAGCGAAUUACUCACUCCACCAUAGCCAAUCAGCAUGGAGAUCCUUUGGUGUCCAUAAAUAAAUCAUUGGAGAUUCAUUCAUCUGGAAAACAGAGAGCAGACUGAUCAGCUACCUUGAGCUGUCCAGUGCGACUUGUUUUUUCUCAGAAUAUUUCUUCAGUUCUCCUAGAUUUUGAACAAACCAUUGACUCAUUUAUUGGGUUGAUUCUAUUUCCACAGAGCUACAUCACAGUCGGGUUAAGUAGAGUAAUUUUGACAUCUGUUAUUGUGACACAAUAGAAAUAAAUGACUUAGCCCCCCACGCUAUAUCUGUGUCAACAGGUGCAUUAAUGUCAUUUAGUAUUACGCACAAUAGAACGUAUGCAGAUGAGUAAUAGAUUAUGCUCAGGUGCUGGUGAAUGUGUUUGCAGAAAUAGUUCACGCUAUAAUGAAGAUUUUAUACCUUUUAUUGGAGAGUUGAAGGGAGACGUGGGAAGGAGAGGGUGUGGAAGACCUGGAGUAAAUGUUCAUGGUUGGGAGUUAAACCAGUGUCCACUGUAAUGAAGACUACAGUCCCUUAAACUACAGUAACACCCCUGGAAGCAGAUUCAACUAAACUAAACUUGAUCUGUGUUUGGAAAUUAGUUUUACUUUUUUUGGACAUUAUGUAUGUCCAAAGCUCACGCAUGGACAGGCUGAUAAUAUCUUUUAAUGAGCUCCUGGAUGAGGAAAUAAAUUCAAAUCAAAUCAAAUGCAAAUUUAAUUUCAGGAUAGUGGCUCUAAAAACAAAGUUUAACCCUGCACAGUAAUGGAUUUCCAAUAUUAUUCUCCCCAAAGUCAGACUACUUAAAAAACCAAGGCUCUAAAUUAUUCACCAGCGCUCGCUCCACCCUUUAAAAGCCAAUUAGGUGAACACUUCAUGGAAAUCAGGGACAGCAUUUGAUCUCCUGAUGUCAUUUUCAAUUCAAGAGGGGAAUAAAUUACACAAAUUUGACAGCUCCAAAAUUAAAGACCCCAUCCAUCUGACACUCCUGUCAGGUGAAUACUUAACAAGCUAAAACCUGCAAUUAUGUGAAUUUAUUUUUUCAUUUAUUUUUCAUGCCUUUGGGGUGAUUUUAUGCAUGCAUACACAUAUUCUCACCCUUCUUUAAUUUUCAUGUAGUCACAGUGAGAUGCAACGCAGCUUUAAAUGCCGCUUUAUGGUGUGAAAAGAUUUACUUAAAUUAUAAGAGAGAAAAAUUAAGAUUCAGGUUUAAAUAUUCAACCGAAAGUUAAUUUACAUCAAAGUUAAUUUAAAUUACAUCACAGCUGCGAUUCCUGUGAUCACAAAGAGGCAGUAAGAGAGAAAAAAUUAGAACGGAGAUGAAUUACAUUUCUCCACUCUCAGACGUGCAUGCAGAUGGAAAACAUAUUGAAAAUGAUAAUAGCGGUAAUAUUGCGCCACCAUGUCACCAGUGCCUCCACACUCUUUGUCCUCAGGCGGUUUCACAGCGUUUCUUCAUCUUGUUUCCUCACCCCGAAAGCCUGGUUUGUGAAACUCCACAGAAGAGCACUCCCACUCAACCUCCCAGCCUGCUGAGAGCACUUGAAAGCAAUUUUCUUUUAAUCAAGUUCACUAUAAAGGCCCCUCUGAUGCCAACCUCAGCAACACUACCAUUUUGUUUUAUUUUUUUCCAGCUCCGACUCUCUCUACAUUAUAUUGAUUUCUUCAUGAGCGCUAUGAAAUACUGUUUGCAGACAUAAUGAGAAUUUUCUUUCAGUUUAUUGCUCUUGCAGGACGGAUACAGAUAUGAGCACUCUUCAGAGCAGAUCUCACUUUUUGAAUAUCGGCUGUACGUCAAACAUUUUGAAACAUCUGCAUUUACUGCAGGACAAGUAAUGUUUUAAAGCAAUGAGCCCAAAAUGAACAUGGCUUUGUGCAUUUCUCACCCAUUUAUAUUCAGAUCUUUGCUUGGGGAGUAAGAGUGCCGACACAUGAACAAAAUACAGCAAGAGUCCACCAUCCAAAAAUCUAGGCUGCAGAUGUUUACGCAUCAUUUAAGCUUAUAUCAACAUCUUAACAUACAGUUUUUCUAAGAGAGUAAGAAAAUAGUCCAACCACAACCCGGGCCAACUUUUCAAACUGCCUGAUUUGUCUAAAAGUCAGGGCAUCUCUGGUUCGCAUCACAGACCGAUUUGCUCCUUUGUUUAGAAAUGACCUCAGGUUUGGUGUGUGACAUUCACACGCAGCCCUAAAUGUCUGAAGACACCCUCAUAUCAGUCUAUCAUUCUUUUGAUUUAUGAGCCUAGAUACAGAUAAACACAAACGAAAUUGUACAUUUAUUUUUUUUGGAGAUUUAUUUUUUAGCUUUUUGACCUUUCAUUAGAGAGGACAGGACAGAAAGGACAAAGCAAUCUAAGGAAUCGAUUAGGCGUGCUAAGACCCUUUGGUCAGAGGUGCCCCUAUAAUAAAUAAUUUUGACCCUGAAUUGGAUAAAUCUUAAAUAUUAAAGGAUUAACAUGGAAGCACCACAGUAACUUUGAUUCAAAAGUAACCAAAUACUUACAGCAAUUGGCCAAUAAUGAUUGUUUAAGUUUAUUUGAUUUGCUUUCAAUAAAUAGUUUGCUGAUUGUUUGAUAAAAAAAACUUGUAAUACCAAUUUAUGGUCUUUAAUUUUGCACUUAGAAACAACCGUAAAUCUGUUCAGUUUUCUCCCAUUUCUACUGACAAUCAGAACAAACAACAGCUGAAUCUGGUGAGGCGGAAACUUUAUAGUAAUUAUACAUAACCAAACAGUUUAAACCAACGUGACGAUGUGACGACAUCCCAGUAGUAGAGCGUUAUAUCAUUAUUGGACUGGUCAACUGUACAUGCACAUCCACGAUGUAAAUUUCCAAUCUAUUUUACAUAGUUGAAGUUAUAGCUGUUGGAAAAUUGUGAAAAAGUAAAUGUGUACAAUGAUAAAACCCUCAUAAAUGCUGUAGAGUUUAGAAAAGCUCAUUUUUAGAGAUACACAAAUAAAGAACUCAAAGCUGUACUUGUAAAAGCUCUUGAGUCCGUUUAACAGCACCUCUUAAACCCUGCUUUUCUGCAGACAGGUGUUUGGGUUUUUUAUCAGCUCAGUAUGAGCUCACCCCCUGCACUGAUAUCUAUUCCCAUCUCUGUCCUCAGGCUAUGGAGUUUCUGCUGUAUCAUAUUAAUGAAGGACAUAUUUUAUAACCACUUAAUAGUCAGCGACCUUGGUGUGAUGCUCCAAAGUGGAACUGACUGUUGCUCUGCUGCAUUUUUAAUUCAGGGAGUGUUUAAACAAGAUCACCUUGUUUGAUAGUUUGUGACUGCAGACAUGUACUUUAGCCAACAACAAUGCAGUGAGUCAUUAGGAAACAUGACAAAGGCUCAUAAAUGUGCAAUUAAUUUAGACGUUAGAUGAACAGGAUGCAGGUCAAUGACACGCUGUUGAAGUCAUUUUAAUCAGGUAUGAUGCUCGUGCCGUUUUGGCCAGUCAGCAACACGAUCCAUCAUACCUCAGAGCAGAACUAUGCUUAACCUUUUUUACCUUAAACCCACAGAGGUUAACUGUGGUAGUUUGUCCUUAUCUAUAAUGAACAGCUGGUUUAAACACAUUUAAAGCUCUUGUGAGGAGCUUUUUAACAUUGCAGAAAUAGAAUUGCAGAAUUGCUUUUCUGCUAUUUAAGGUUUGCUGUGUAAAUCAAAGAGAGUUUUUCAUUCACAGUCAUGUCACAGAAAGAAAACCUGGAUCUAUAAUCAAAAAAACAUUCAAGGGAGCUUGUGAACUAAAAUGUGCAGAUUAUACACUUUCAGCAAAACUUGUCAAAUUACUCAGUUAUUUUAUUCGUAUAAAAAUUGCUAGUCUAUGAGUCAUUUGACAGAAAUGUACAGUCAAAUUUAGGAACUUCAGGUUUGUGUCGGUUUUGGCACCUUCUGUGGAAAAGCAUUUUGACUAAUCAGUAAAAGUCAGUCUAUUUUAUGAAUGUCAAAUAACUCCUCACAGGAACUUCAAAUCCCUCAUAAUCUUUAACUAUUGAAAACUUGUUUGAGCAUACGUAAAUGAAUAAAUGUCUGCUCAAACUGUAAAGGUUGUCUCCUUGAACUCAUGUAACAGAAAACCAGCCUGAUGAAGAUUUCACCAUCAGGCUGAUCACACGUCAUGGUUAACUCUAGCUCCAAAUGUUUCACUGUUUUAUACCUCAAACUUCUUGCUUUCAGGUCAAGAGGGCGUGUUGCUCUGUGAGGUCUGCUGGCUCCGACUGAACCCCGAAAACCUUCCCGAAGACUGAUCACAGAGGUGAGCCUCACUUUUCUUACUCUCUCCUGUCUAACAUUAACAACAAAGAUCCUUGAAAUGAUGGAUGCCGUGCUCACAGAGGAGAACAGCCAUUAUCGCAAGACAAGUUCCCUCAGUGUGUAUUUUAGUGUUUUAUGACAGCAGUGCUCUGGUCAUAGUUUGAAGAUUUCAACUUACUUGAUCUACAGUUAAAAAAAAAAAAGAAGAGUGAUGUUUAAAAGUUGUAAUCCUCAAAGAUUCCCGUCCUGGUUGAUUUGUAGAGAGUAAAUCUGGUUUAACAUGACAUCAGUUACCAUAAGUGUUGAGCAUCUACUUAAAGCAAAAGAGCAGCUGGUGUGUCUGUUAACAGCACUGCCAGAGAAACUCAUGUGGUUUUGAUAAAGAGGUCAGUCAAUAAAAGCUGUGACCACAAUCUGAUUUCAUGCUGCAUGCUGUGAGUGUGGUUUUUCAACACACCAGCAGGACGCAAAGAAUCUGGUUACCGUGAUGAGGAGUCAGAAAUGAAUCAGCUCGCUGUGGCAGCUCUUUUUUGUUUCAACACUCCUCUAAAUAAAAUAUGACCUGACUUUCAGACAGACAGAAAUGCUGAAAACAACCAUUAGCUACUGAAACUACUGAGAAAAGUCUCACAUUUAGUUAUUUUUGAUCCAUGGAGGUGUCCUAUUCCAAUUGAAUUCACUUAAGACUUAUUACAGGCUUAAGCUCCUCAGUAUGCACCGAACUUUGCUCAGUGAUUGUUAUAACUUGAAUUUAUAAAGGACCUCUCAACCCAAGUACUCUAAACAAAUGAGGUGAAAAGAAAUAAUGAAAAUGGUGGUUGCCAGAUUGGAGAGUUUAUAGUCUGCAGGCCUUGUUGAAUAGGUGGUUUUUCAGCUCAAGGCGGCUAAGUCCCAAUAAUUGAAAACCUGUGGACCAAACAGAAACAUUAAACUGUAGACAGACGGAGUAACAAAACUUACACAGCAUUUUCAGUGGCAUGAACUCCUUGAGAAGUGGAGCUAAAAACUUUAUUAAAGUAUGCAGAAAGCAAGUUACUUCAAUAAAAUGAAAUAGGCACAAUCUUCUAGUCCAAUAUACACAGCUCCAUGUACCGUUGUGAAGUAUAUUUACAAAGAUAUUGUUUCUUAUGACUAAUUCAUAAGAAAAGACAUCGUUUAUUCUGCCAGUUUUGGUAUAUGUCGUUUUGGGUUAAAGGGGGUCUUUUUCAUGCUGCUACGUAAGGGAUAAUGUAAGAUGAGUGCGUGGAUCUUCACAUUACAAUCCUGGAGGGAAUCAAAUUUGGAUAACCACCUGUUCACAAUACAUUAUUUUACAUGUCACCCUGUUAUCUACUAAAGCUUCAAACAAGUAGUUUUCUUUCAAGUCUCCUUGAGAUGAUCAUCCUCAUGUAGAUCCAUAUUUACAUUUCUGUUCCCCUUAUGCUUUCUUCCCUUAGGGGCUUUGCAGUUUGCACACCUUUGAACAUGAAUGUCAAAAAAUAAGCAACUUUCAAUGUUUUAAUGUUGUAAGACAGGGCUUCGUCCCAGUAUAUUUCAGAGAUCCUUAGGGCUCUGUAGCUACUCACACUGCUCUCAGAUCUGGUCAUCAACAGGCAAAAUGUGAAAUUUGCUUUUUUACCAAUCAGAACCGAGUACCCAGCGCAGCAGGUUAUUAAUGAGAAAUAGGACUGUGUGUAGAGUGAAAAACUGAAAACUACCUAUUAAGUGAGCCCUAGGUGUCUACUGUGAGAGCUCCACCUUUUAUAUAAGCAUUCAUCUUGGCAGCUAAUUUAGACUUAGUCUGAGUCAUUGGACUAAAAUGCAUUUUAGAGUUGAUUACAUUUAGUCGUUUGUUUUCUGAUAUAAAAGUCAAAACAUUUUAGUCUAGUUAAGUCAGUAAAAAUUCCAAACACUUAAGUCUAGUUUGAGUCUGUAAAAGUCUAAACAUUUUAGUCUAGAUUUGGUCAACAAAAAGUUAAAACAUUGUUGUCCAAUUUUAGUCUGCAAAAAGUCAAAACAUAUUAAUGUAACUGACAAAUAGUUAAACAUUGCUGUCUAGUUUGGUCACAGAGUCAAAAUAUCGAAAAAAAUCGAAAAAUCGAAACAUUGUAGUCUACUUAAGCUGGUAAAAACGCAUCAGUCCAGAUUAGGCCAACAAAAAAAAUCAAAACAAGUUAGUUCUGUAUAGUCUAUAGUCAUAGUUUGUACUUAUAGUCCAAACCUUUUCUGUCUUUUGGUCUCUAAGUUUUCUUAAACUUGGAGAAAAUGAAGUUUGGACACAGAGCUGUGGUUAUAUGGUUAUAACGAACAUUUAUCGCCAUUAUUUUCAAAAUUUAAAAUGCUCUGUAUAUGAGGAGUACAAUUAAACCACCAAGCUUAACUGUUAGUCCAUAAAUUAGUCCAUAAAUUAGUUUGAUUUUAACUCAACUAUGACACAAAGAUGAGACAGUGAGUAUUGAAACAGUUUGACUAUCUUUAUUGGUAACACUGGAUUUGCAUUUUGGACUGUAUAUCAGAUGAACAUGGGUGAUAUGAGACAAUAAGACAUUUCUGACUGAACUUUUAAGAAUGGACAGUGGUUAAAAUAGAGAAAAUGACAUCAACAGGUUUUGAGUUUCAUGAUCAGCACUGUUAAAUUUCUAUCUAAUGGUUUUCUGAACUGUUUUAGGGAAAUCUCAUGACAUAUGAAUUCCCUGGCAAAAGUACAUCGACCAAGUUUCAAAGGUCAAGACAGAGAGAUUGGCAAUCAAUACUCCAGAAGUAAAAUCCUCAUAUAAGACUUAGCUUGGACUUUUUCUAUGAAUUUUAAAGUGGUACACAUGCUUCGCUUUCAUUCCCCUGCUGCUGCAUUGAUCCCCAGGAGGAAAAAAAAAACUUGAGUGCACUGCGCACACAGGAUUGAAAGCAGAGACAGCAAAGUGACUUCUGUCUGCCGAGGCUUCACAGACUGCAGCUAUAAUGAGCAUUUCAACAGGGCUACAUGUGGUCUUAACAAGCAAAGUACAAAAUGCAACUUAAACAAAAAGCAUGAACAAAAUGAUGACAUGGCUUUAACACGAACCGCAGAGAAAACUUGACAUGUUGAAUUCGGAAAAGAGAGGGUCAAAACUGCCUGCACCAUUGCUGAACAGUAUAUAAUCUUUUAAUCAGGAGGUAAAAGGAGCUUAAACGGCACUUUUGUCACAUAUAUCAUAAGCAGAAAUGACUCCCCACUGGCAGCCUAAAAGGUUUUAAUGAAUUUCAAAUCUUACCCCUUCAAAUUGGUUGGAGAAAAUGGAACUCAACCAAUAAAAAUGAGAGAUGAAUAUAGUCCUAAAAUGACUUUAUACUUGAUAAUAAAGUGCAAACACUCUUUCGUCUAGACUUCAGGAAGAUUUAAGUAACAUAAAAAAAGCUUUCUCCUCUUUAAGAUUUUUCCAUUUUCUUUGGCUCACUUUAUUCUGGGGUAAAAUCUGCAGAGCUGCAAAAAUAAGCUCUGCACACUGGCUUUGUUACCUGCUCUAUCUGCCUGCAUCUACCUGCGGUAAUGAUGAUAUCCAAAGCUUCAAGUUGUGCAGAAUAAUGCAGAGCUGUGCAAAGUUCACCUUCCAAUCCGUGUUAAUGAGAUGACUCCUGGGUCCACGUGUAGCAGUUUAAUUUACACAAACCUGCAAACCUGCUGCGUGGAGCCGAUAAAUGCAAUCACAGUGUGCAUUCAGGCAGCAUAUCUAUCUGCAGAGGCUCGGUGUAAAGGUCUAUGAGUGUCCAGCAGUGCACAGAGCCACAGCCCCGAGGUAGUUACACAGAGAAAGGAUGAUGUAAGUGGAAGAGAGUAUUUGCAUUACAUGGUAUCACCUUAAAUUCUGCGUUUUGUCACCGUUUUAAUGAUGGCACCCUCACUUAGCUCGGGUUGCCUCGUAUCAGCGCUGACCCUCGUGGGCUGAGUUCUGGGGACACCUUCCAAUCUGUGUUAAUGAGAUGACUCCUCUCUGUCUACGGGUCACGGUGAUAUUUACAGAAAGCGUUGUAGCGGCAGAGAUCCACGCCUCCCCGUGGCGCUCCCUCUCCUCAUUUGCAUAGCUUUCAGACUUCCUUUCUCUCGCUCUCCCUCUUCCAGCGCUCUUGCUGCGCUCCUCCAUGAUCGACAGGCUCCUUCGCACUUCUCUUCAGUUUGUGUCGCACAUGUUAAUUAAAGCCUCUAAUUAGCUUUCCCCACUAAAAGGCCGCAUUAAAUCAGAGUUGGAAUGGCAAAUGAUUCCUGGCAUUAGCAUAAUUGUGUUUUUGAAGUGUAAAGAUUCGGGCAUUAAGGAUGCUAGCACGCGUUUUUGUUUCAGUGAUUUGUUGUGUUUGGGGCUCGAUGCCCAGGGGGCUACUGGAGGUUGGCUGUUCGGGUUUGAGGUGCCCCGGGACCCUACAGGGGCCACACACUAAUGAGGCCUGCUCCUCUCUGAUGGAGCAGAUACAGGAAAAACAAACCUGUGAUGUGGUACCCUCAGGUGGUCCUAAGAGCCAAGCAGAGCGGAACAGGACACUGCUGGAAUGUGUGUGUGUGUGUGUGUGUGUGUGUGUGUGUGUGUGUGUGUGUGUGUGUGUGUGUGUGUGUGUGUGUGUGUGUGUGUGUGUGUGUGUGUGUGUGUGUGUGUGUGUGUGUGUGUGUGUGUCUGUGUGUGUGGAGAGUGAGAUGAGGCAGACAAAAAAGAGAUAAAGUCAUUACUACUUUAAUUAUCAUUAUCAGUGAUUGGUGUUUCACCCUGUGUGGAAAACACUUCAUGGGUGGAAAAGUCAACAAUCUAGCUCCUUAUUUUACGGUAUUUACGAGGAAAUAAAUCACGCUAUUUGUUCAGCUUCAAAACAGGCAAAAAUUGUUGACUGUAUAUUUCCUCAUGGUUAAAUAUUGAUAUCUUAUUUUUUUUAUCAGUGGUGUAUUUGGCUGUCAGGGCACAACAAUUGGAUAUCCAGUGAAAGGACCAGUCUGAUUCAGUUUAUCAAAAACGUUGAAUCACUGAGCCAGUGAUGUAUUUUUACCCAUGUGUAAAAAAAAAAAAAGAAAAAUAGUCCAUAAAAAAUGGUCAAUUUUGGUAAAGUAAGGAAAGAAAACAGGAAAAUAAGGAAUCUCUGAUUAAAUGGAUUUAAAUAAGUCCAGAUAAGACUUGGAUAAAGAGGAGGAGAACUUCUUUCUAUUAUAUCCAGAUUGUUUCUAUGUACAGUUAAGUUAAGGUACAGCUUAAUUGGACUGUCUGAGUUUACAAGCACUAGGUGAGAGUUGGUUUUUUGGCAAAAAUAUGCUUUAAGGGCUAUAGUCCCCCAGUUUGUCUGGAGACCAGUGGACCUUCCCUUGGUUGACCAGUUAUACCACAUACAAAAAUAAGUGACAAACAGUUUAGUCUGAGGUUAACUGGUCGUAUGUUGGAAACACAGACACCUUCAUGGUUCUGUGUCUUUUGUAUGCAAAAAACCCAACAUGCAAACUGUGAAGCAUGUACAGACAACAGAAAACCAAUCCCCAUCAGUAUCUCCACCAGAUUAGCACAUUAACAUGUACCUUAAAAGUCCAGUUGUAGUUGAUUAUUUAUUGAACUUUGUAGGCCAGUUUGCAGGUGGAGUUUCAAAUAUUUUUGGCUUCACUGUUGGGGAGCUGUCAUGUUGCCUAUCAUGUUAUACUCCUGUUAUUGAUACAAACUGUAGCACUACUGUAGAGGGUUUUAAAAGUAUGCGUUUAACUGCACUGGCAAAGUAUUAUUGUGCCAUAUUUGCAGCUUUGGUCAGAGCACCACUCACUGUUCAAACCCACAGAGAUUUUCUGUGUAUCUUCUUAAAAUUCUAGUUCCUAAAACCAUGUUUGGUUCCAUCAACUCCUUUGAGACCUCUCCUUGAAAAAAGUGGUUAUUUUAGAAUCCAUUUUCUCGUCAGCGUUUGAGUCCGCACAGGGACACUCAUGCCUGGUUCAUGUCUUCUCUUACACCUGGAUUUAAUAGCGGUUGGUAUAGCGCACAUCCUCCACUAUCAAACAUGACUGAAGCUGCUGGUAUCCAACCAAUAGCGCCGCAGGGUAGUGGUACUUUUCAAGAGCUUCCUCUGGGCAAAAACUUCCUCACUGACUUGUGUGGCUAAAUUAUUCAGGGUGAGCUCGUCAGCCCAAAGGCACAGCAGUGGAACAGUGACAGUUUGGGGGUUGUGUGAUAGCUGCGAGUCUUGUCAUAUGAGUUAUUAUAGAACCAAGAAGAUAUACCACAAUGUUGCAGAUUCCUCGCUCCAGCCUUGAAUCUGCUCCAGGCAUGAAAACCCAUUAAGAUGCAGUGGAAAGAGGAGGCAGGGAGAGAGUUGAGGAAAUGAUGUAAAGAGGAGGGAGAGUCUGCAGACAGAAUUAUCAGCACUUCUGCACGAGGCUACUUUUAAUUUGAGGAAUUCUAAUUAAAUGGUUUUUGUGUCAGCAGUCAAAUCACUUCUGUUUCUUUAAAAGACUACGGCUGAUUACAUAAGGACAUGCUGCCAUGUUCCUACGAUGACAGAUUUAAUUAUGUGGAAUGAUUUUUUUUUUAACCACACAAAAGUGCAGCGAGCGGUAAUGUGUGUUUUAACAUAUGAGAGGGAGAGAGAGAUGGAGGAAGAAAAACACAAAAGAACUAGAGAAAGAAAGAGAAGAGUGGGAGAAAUAUGGAGACUGCAAGCAGCGCCAGACGCUGUGUGGAAGCCUAACAUUCAUUAUGUCUGUUUCAAUGUUGCUGGUAGUCAGAACGCAGUUGGAGAUCUCAGCCAGUCAGCAGAGAAUCCAAGGGCACUGCCAGAGGCUUGAUUUACACAACAAAAACACAUUUCACCGUAUGUGACCUGGACGAGACUUUUUCUCACUGUUUGUCAAAGUUUUGCCAAGUUUCUCAGCUCCUGCAGCCAAAAGAGAAAUGUUUUUCUGCAGUGCGAGCUGCGAUUGUUGGCCGCUGAACUCUUGUGUUUUCCGCUCGAUGCAUCUGGGCUGAUUAAUGAUCUUGCUCGUGAUGUCAACAAGUGUACGGAUAAGAGCUGGAGAUGAAGCUGGGUCUGAAGUUAACUUUUAAAAAUAAGUGCUUCUGUUUAGUGUUGUACAAAACAGGAAAUUUCUGCAAGUUUAACCAAGCAGUUGCUAUUUUUAAACACGAGUAAUAUACCACUGUGGUAUAAAGACUUGACCACAUUUGGUUGGCAGAGCACAUGCCAUGUUACUACUACAAAUGCUUAUUGAACUGUUUCCCCCCUCUUGGACGCUUUUGUAAAAUGAAUUUUAAACGUACCCCUCUAGCCUUGACAGUUAUGCGUUAUACACUUAAAGAUUAAUGAUGUGGAGGAAAGAAUAUUCAAAAUUUUGCUUUAUGACCCAUCAUGCUCUAAUAGAUUUUAGCUUUUAAGCCUGUUUUCACAGCUGUUAGUGCAGGUUCAUACAAAAUUAAAUUUACCAGCAGACUCAAAAUAAUGUUGUUUUUUUUCUUUUUUAAAGCAAAGUAGCUUUGUGAGGUUUUGCAUAAUUUUUCACUAAAGCUUUCUGAGCUAUAUUAAUGAUCAGCUUUUGAAGUCCUGAUAUCAUUAUCAGGACAAAGGUACACUGUAAAAAAAAAUAAAAACAUUGAGGAACAGCAGCAGUUUGAUAAUAUUAAACUACAGUUAAUUAAUGUCUCAGCCAAAAACUCUAACACUGUAAUUGAAAAAACUGAAAAAUACUGUAAAAUAAUUACCAGUAAAUGCUGCAAAAUUACAGAUGGGUACUAUCAAUUAUAUAAUCCCAGUAAAAAUGUAUGGUGGUAUUACUAUUUAAAUAAGGUUAUUUGUUGUCAAAUUUUACAGCAUUUUAAACUGACAAAGUUAAUCUUUAACUUGGACCGUUAAUUUUGCGGCGCUCAUUUCUCUUUCCUGUUAGAGCAAAAAGGUUGUAUCGUAUUCAUUUCUUGUACAGUUCUGGCAACCCAACUGACAGUUAUAUGUUACAGUGUAUGCCAAUAUUAGUAGUGAUCUGUUCAGUUACUGGUAUUAAAUUUAUAACCAUAAAUCUGUAAUGAAAGAAAGUUUAAAAAAAAAAAAGAAAAUGUCAAUAUUUAAUCACAAUUGUGCCUCAAAAUGUGUGUGAUAUGUGAUGAAGCUCAUCAUUGUAACUCUGUUGAUCAGUAUUAACACAUAUUUCAUAGAGUUCAGACGGAGCAGUAUGAUAGGUAAUGGUAAACUAACUGUGCCUGUAACCUCUACUUCAACCUGCUUUGUUAUUUGGGAAGUAUCUCUCAUCUUUGCAACAGAGCUCAAACUGAUUAUUUUCACUGUUUAUCUCAAAGUCAGUGUUGUUAAUGAAUUUCAUCAUCCUGUUUUUUUUUUAAAGCACGGUUAUGAAAAAAGUGAAGAAGAAAAAAUGCAGAAAAAGUGUUCACAGCCUGGUCAAGUUGCGAAGUAUCAUAACAUACUUUGUGCGGGGAAAUGGCCACUUGCAAUCAAAUAGCAUUACUUAACCUGCAGUGGUUGAUGGCGGCAGCUGCAUCUGAGGUCAUGUGUAAAUAUGUCACCAUCUUCUGGGUAAAAACGAGUAAAACAAUAAAAUAACUGUGUAUUUUAAACAAGUAUCUAAGUUGCACCAGGAUGUAGGAGCUCACUUUUUGGAUGAUAAAAGGUGAGUCUUCUACUCUGAUUUUCAUGUCAUUACCACCUUGUAAUACCUGCACGACUCACUUGCAGUGAACUCAUAUCCUGCCAUACCUCCCUGUCUGACAGGACCAGCAGUGGUUAAAACAUGAGUGCUACGCAGUUGCAGGUCUGUGUUUCAACACGAGAUCAUUAGACUUUAAAUGAACCAUGCUGUGCUUACAGGUGUGGGUUUAUUAGCCGUUUCACAGCAGCUUGGGAAGUGACUCAGCUGGACCAGAACUGAGGACAGAAGCAAUCUGUUCAGCCACCAGAGUGAAAAAUAGGAUCACCUUUCAUCAUGCAUUUCAGAUUUUGCUCUCUUUACAUGGUAUUGUGAAAGUUUUAAUCUAUAAACUCAUUACUUGAAGUUCAGCGUGUGGGUCGUUUCUGUUAAUUAAUCACCAUUUUCUCAAUCACAGACCACUGACCUUUAAAGGUGUGCUCAUUUGUUAUAUACCUCUAAUUCUGUAACUAGUAAAAGUGAAAGUACUGAUUCAUACAUCUGUUAAAGAUAAAAAAUAGCCUGUUUAUUUAGAAUUAAAGUGCGCGUGUUCACCUUUAAGCGCUAAUCCUCAAAGGAAACAAGCCAAUGACAAGAUGACAGGAGCAAGAAUAAACUGAUAUUUUCAUUUUAAAACCCUCAUGCCUCGGUUUAAAUUGGGAGGGGGAGAAUAUCUCGACACAAAUAUGACAGGUAAACACACACACACAUAGUAACACACAUACAUCCUCUGCGGCUCUGAUUGAGUGUAAGUGUCUGCGUUGGCGGUCAAGGUCAGCUGAUAAUGGGAGAGAUUGAGGACGGGGUGAGGCGGCAGGGGGGUCGGCAGCAGUCUCAGGUAAUGAGAUUUACGACCCUGAGCUCUCACCGCACCCCCCCCUCCAAGUCCCUCCACCCUUUGGCUAACAUGAUUUAUAGAUCUAAUAGACGUCACCGCUCCCGCCUUAGAUAGAGGCUUCACAUUAUCACUGAGGAAAAGUCAUCUGCUCAACAGGGCAAGAAGGCAGAGACGGAGACGUCACGAUGUAAGAGCGCUCAUAUUUGACUCAUAGCGAAAACACGUCUCUGAAUGCAUGUAUGUGUGUAAGCUCACAAUAUAGUUACUAAUCAAACAAAUUCACCCAAACUUUUAUACUUUAAAGGGGAACCAACAAAUAAGACUUAUAUAAAGUAACUCUUUUGAAACUGAUCUCAAAAGCUGCAAUGUAACCAGUCAUUUACCGCCAUUAUUAUGGGACUAAACUCAUAACUCCCUGCUCUAUGCUCUAUGUCAUGCUGUUAUACUAACUACUUAAUGACUCCUUGCAGUGGCACUAAUGUCAUAAAAGAGGAUAACAUGAACAGAGGUUAAUUGGUCGAAGAAGAGGAAGCUGACAGCUGCAUAUUAUCAAAGAAAUGCCACAGCUCUUUCAAAAUCUGAAAAAGAGAAAAUGUAAACCCUGUCUUCAUCCUGAGAUGAGAGGAAAGGUGAAGGAUGCUCUCAAGUCCGUGGAGUUCCACUUGUAUUCACAUCAAGAGGGAAAUGCAUUCUGAUAUGCUGCAGACUGGUCUGAUGCAGGAGAUUUACAGCAAAUCUCAGAUGUCAGAAGUUUCACUGUAGGUUCUCAAGGAAGUUAUUUAACUUAUUUUACAUUUGGUAUGUUGUUGGAUGAAUUUAAGUUACAGACUAAAAACAUGUGCAUUGUUUCAUCUCAUUAAAAGACUAAAUUCCUUAUUUAGUCAAGUAUUGUGACACAUAUUGUCAUAUUUAUAUCUAGAUAUAAAUAUCAUGGGCCUUGUAUCAUGUCCUGAGUCAUCUGGCAAGUCUCACCCCUAACUGCUAAAUUAAAGCUCCUGUGAGGAACUUUUUGUUUGUGUCAACUUUGGCGCCCCUCGUGGACAAAGCAGUCUUUUCUUACCUUGUCCUCUACAUGUUGGAGUGGUGACUUUUGACAAAAUCUCUCAUCCGGCUGACAUUAAACAGCCAAAUCCAUUAUUUUUUUCUUCAAGCAGAAUUGUAGAAACAUCUGUUUCCCCAACUGCUCAGCUGACACAUACCCUUCACACCAGUUUCAGGCAUUGAAAUUAAAGUAUACAAAUUUCUAAUCUUGUCCCUGAUGGUCUUGUUAGUUUUUAGAUAUCACAAACAGACAUCAGUAUGAGAUCCAGUCUAUUCCAUAUAUUCUAAAAAGUCCUCAAAGGAGCUUUAAGUUCAAACAGCAUCAUAACAAACCUCAAAAAAAGCUCCCAAAAUCUCCAGUCAUAAAAAGUACCUGACUUUUGUUUCAGAAACAGGAGCUAUAGUCUCACAAAUGUGUUCCUGAUGAUUGUUUUAAAUCCCAAAGCAAGUAAUUAGUGUUUAAAUCCUUUUAAAUUAAGAUUUUUAGUCAUUCAGUAGACCCACAAUUCAAGUUUAUUGUCAAUUAAUGUCCUAUCAAACAUCUCCACAUGUUUUGAUAUCACAAUCUAAAGUAAAUAUUGGACACGGUCCUUCUUAAUUAAACCCUUUGUUUGCAGAAUGGGAGGAAAUCUGCAGAUAUUGCUGUCCAAUUUAAAAAUGUAACUACAAACAGAUUGCAGGAAUUUAGAAACCAACAUAAAAGGCGAUUAGCUGCCACACAAGUAAUGGGAUUACUCCAACAUGCCACCGUCCGUGCUGUUCUGCUCAUAGCGCUAACACUCCAAACAAAAUGACAUUCAACACACAAACCAUGCUAUUGUUCCAGCACGCUGCACAAGCCGACUGAGGCACAGCGGCUGUAGGGAUGGAAGCUGCUGAACUUACUGCUCAUUACUGAAACAACCUCUCCUAGAGCUGCCGAACAACAGAGGCAACAUCCAGUGUCUGUUCAGCUCUGUUAACUUAUGCCUCUGCAAAAAAAAAGAAAAAGAAGACAAAAAAAAAAUAGAUAAAAAGCACAACAAUAUGGUGACAGCCAGAUUGCUUCCCAAUAGAUGCCGAGCUAAUAUUUGCACUAGCUCUGCUGUGCGUGUUGGAAAAGAUGGUAGAUUGGAUUUCGAGCAGAAGCUUACACUCACAAACACCCCCCGUCAGUUGUUUGUUCUCAUGCAGCCUGCCAUCUCAGUGUAUUUUGAGAAUUAAACCAAUAAGCCCCCCUGCUAAGCCCAGCCUAGCAGUUAUUGAUGUGCUGCCUUUUAUUGUCUGGAGUUCAUUCUGUUCAUAUUCACUGUGGCUGCCUUUGUGCCAGCUAACAGUAACUUAAAACACACUGACGCUGUCCGCCUCACAGACGACACACACCAGCUCAGGAAUUUGAGGCACAAUAUGUCAUAAAAAUCUCAUUAAUACUCUCAGAGCCCUUAAUCACACAUCAUCUGAACAUUGUGUCAGGAGUUUGCACAUUAAUUUUCAUUUUAAUGGUGAUUUUCCUCUUUAAAGAAGGGCCAAAUUUAAAACGUCCUUCAAGAGAGACGGCGACAUGGACUUGCAUCUCAUCAUCUAUUUGCUGAAAUGUUCAAAGUCAUAUCAGUCUCACAAGCCCUGUGACAGGAAAUUCUAUUGAAACAAAUUCUCACCAUCUUCUCAAGCAAAAACUCCAAACUAACAAGGAAAACUUCUUUUGGGGAUUGGUAGAGUAUCUCACGUUUAUCUGUAUCACUUAUCUGUCAUCUCCUUUGACAUGAUUUGAUUCACAGUAGCCAUACUCUGCAAGAAAAAAAUUCCUAAUAAAAAAAAUCUUUAAUACUUUUAUUUGACAUUUUAACCGUCUUGCAUUUAGUUUUAUUUAUUGUCUAUAUUGUAAGACCAUGCUUUUAUUUAUUUUUUAAAAUUGAUACUACUUCUACACAUCUUAAGUUAUGAAGUUGAAUAGAAAGAGCUAAAAGGAAGGUUCAAAAGUAUAAUUAUUCAAUGUAACAGUACCCCGCAGAGUUGUCACAGCAAAUAUUGAACAUCAUUCAACGGUGUCUGAUCUUCUUUCAGAGGGCUGCUACCCCUAGCUCGCUGGCUGACUCUGCUGCUUCUUCUCUGUAGAAGACACUUAUAGUAACCAGCAUAAAGAGCCAUCACUGCACCCAACACUAUGAACCAGCUAAUUACACUAUAAUAGCAUAUGCUAAUGAAUACCAAAAUAUCAAUACUUCACUCUGUUUUAGAGUAGUUAGCACUAUAUACUAUCCUUUACAUCUUCAUGUAAUCAUACUGUUGUUCACCAUCAAAAUUACAUUUUUAUUUGCAGUUUUGUGCGACAGAAGUACUUUAAAAUCAAACAAUAUUAUAGGUGUUCUGCUGUCUUAAAAGCUAGAGUUACAUACCAUGUAAAUAGUUAGUCAAACUGAACAUUUGGUGCAACACCUUUAGAGUGCACUUUCUUUAAAGUGCAGGCAUUUCUAGGAUACUGAAUAACUGCUUCCUUUCUCUCAAAAACUCUCUUCUCUUCACCACUGUACAUGUUUACAGCAGCAAAAAUGGCCUAAAGUAUUUAAAGUGGGAAGUUUUGUUCAACUUAGAAAACUCUUAAAAUUGAGGUCCAAAAAUAUCUGUAUUUUGUCAUAACCUAUUUUGCAUAAACCAUCUCGUUUAAGGCAUAUUUUACAUAAAUACAUAUGUUAAUGUUUUCUUUUUAUAGACUUUAGUUCAUUAUUUAAAUUCAAACUUUUUCAACAAGAGGUCAGAAAAGAAGUAUACAGCAGCAAUAUGUGCAAAAAUAUGGCCAAUUGGUGGCCAGAACCAUUCAAAUACUAAUCUAAUCUAUCAAACUGCCAGUAGUGAAAUGAUUCUGAGGGCACUCUUAUUUCGGAGAGAAUGAUGCCACCAAAAAGUUCUGCUCCUCUAACUUUGCAUUUACAUACUAGACGCCUCAGUGAGCUGAGUCACCUGAAGCAGCUCCCCCCUGCAUGCCUCUGAAUUCAUUAUGAAUCAUUUCUCCUAUCUCAUUUUAUCUCAUCUCACCCAGUGUCUCAGUGGGUGUAUGUCGGUGCUCGAGCCUACCGGGAAGUUUGUCACUUUGAUAACAGGUGGGAUAAGAAGCGCAGUCAGGCAAAGACGCAAAACUGCAACAAAACGGGAAAGUUUUAUAAGGAAUUAAACACAACACCCCCUCAUUUCUUCAGAGAUUUCAAUGAAAACCUUAUUUGAAACAGGCCCACUCGGAAUGGGGUCGGAUGCUCUUAUUAAUUUUCUUUAUUUGUACGCUCCUCGGCUCUUUUCACCCGAGGUAGCGUUCACCGCUGCGAGGACAAUAAAUAGUGCUGUUCAAGUGCCUCCACAAUUUUCAGCUCAAUAGAGGAAAUGCACAGUUGAUUUCUCUGUGGUGUCUCAGCUGCUUUAUUAGCGCAGAAAGUAAAGGGGCUUUUUAUCCGCCUGUUUAUACCGAGUGUUUGAAAGCAACUGAGUCUCCUGAGCACCAUAUUGUGGAUAAAUGUCUGGAGUUUAGAGAAGUAAUCAUGAAGUCCUGAAGGGGGAUGAAUAAGAAAACGUUAAGGUGAUGCAGAGGACAAUUUCCCUCCUCAAUCCAAGAGGUUAAAUCUUGUGUAAGAGUGACAUUAAUUUAUUUCAUCACCGACCAGAAAUUCAGGCAAACACUCGCUGAAAAAACCGACAGCCAACCGCUUUCAACACCCGCAUUCAUGCAAGUACAGUAGCAGCACUUCAAUGCUACAACAUUAGAGCUUUGUUUCAGCGCAGAGGAGGGUGGUUGUGUUGCCAGAGAGAGCUUAAAAUGGCUGCUGAAAGUCAGAAAACUGGAGCCAAACCAAGCCCAGCAGACGGUGGACAGGCUUGCGGGUUGGAUGGCUGGGUUCGAAGGCAGCAGCUUGUUAGGGUGGAAAUGGAUUAGUGCGAGGCACAAUGGGAGUCUUAGGCGUGUCUGCGGUGUUGUGUUAAAGCCCUGCCUACGUUGCCCGGGCUGCUAGACUCAUUUAUGCCCAGCGGUGCAUGCAGCAGCCAGCUCUCUCUCUCUGUCUCUCUCUCUCUCUCUGUCUCACACACACACACAAACAGGGCUUUUCUAAUUGCUGUGGUCUCUUCUGUGCUCACAGCGACAGCCUUGAUUCGGCAUCCAUCAAAACCACAAAUUAACCUGCGGCACCUCGCUAUUGUUCAGUUUGUCACAUGCAGCUGGUAGUGGAAUUAUUGCUUCAACUCUGUUGCCUUACACAGUGGGAGACACUGAAGAGAUUUUCGAAAUUGGACAGAGAAUUUCUGAACAGUGUGUGGCCUCACUUUAUCUGCAGCUACAAACAAAAAACUCACUUGUAGAUUGAAAAUUUAAGUUAUUUCUUUGGUUUUUAACAUGAUGCAGGCGGCGUGAGAAAUGGCAAACUCUUUGCCACGGAGGAGCCAACACAACCAGCGUAACAUCGUCCUCUUGUCGACAAUUGUUUAAGAUCCAUGAGUUUCCCAGUUUGAUUGUGUAUCUUGGUGCGAGAGGUUCGGACACUGCCAUCUUGUAUUUAGCUACCAGAAGUCAACAUAGCAGGACAUCUCCAUCUUGUGUUAAAGGGUAGUUACCAAACUUGGAUCACUGCUAUGUCACCAUCCUCGUUAAACCCUACAGUGUAGUUUAAGCUUCUGUAUCCUUCGGCCUUCGUCUUGCCUAUGCCAUACUGGCCAACGCUGUCAUGAGCAUUUCAUAAGUCUGCAUUGGGGUGUCGUUCUGCUGUACACCACCUAAAAACUGGUUGGCAGUGCUUAUCAUAACACCCGUCUAGUUUUACCAUGAUCCCCCCUUGUGAUUGGCUGCAGUGAAUCUGAAUUACACUUGAUUCUGCACUGAAUCAAGUGUAAUCUGUUUGAGUUGGUGGUGGUAUAUGUUGUGCAGCUGUUGAUCCCGUUGCAAUUAUUGCAUUGUAGAAAGAGGGGAGGUGGAUAUACUGCCACUUAGGAAGAGGACAGGGAUCAGCGGCACACUACUGGAAAUCUCUGCUGACAGGCAGACCAAUCACAGGUCUCGCAGUCGAUGUCGUUUCAAUAAAUAGUUAGGUUUUUUGCAGCGGUGACAGAGAAAAUAAUGGCAUUUUUUUAUGACUGUUCCAAAAAUUCAGUCCAAAGGUAUUUUUGUUUAUCAUAUACAGUACAAUACAGAGUCGUCCUAUUUUUUGUUGAGAAUGAGAUUUUAGCUCGCUAGCAUACCAAAUUCAGAUAUGCUAACAUGCAGCUCAGUGUGCUAAUGUCCAAAGGUAGGUAAAGUCCUGUGGAAGCUUGCCUUUAAACCACUGUUUUAGCUUUCUCCUUACGCUCCAGAGGCAGCUCAUUUCACACAUUUGCAUUUCAUUCGCACGCACAAUGACAUUGUCAAAGAUGUAUUUGAGGUAUAAAUCAUACACUUGUCAGUGACUGCACUUCAUUUACUCCCCAUCUUUUUAAGGAAAUGUCUGGCAGACAGGGCUCCUUCAAAAGUUUCCUAUAUGAGAAGAAAAAUAACCAGACUAAUACUUUGUUGCUGGAUUUUCUUCAGUGCAAAGCUGCACUUUUGAUGAAUAUCUUUGAGCAACAUGUUACCUGUCAAUGCUGAUGUGCUGUUUGGUGCAUUUAUUGCUCCCUUUGGAAAAAACAACACAGUAUUCAUUAUCCAGUGAAUAUCAAAAUAAGCGAGCAGGAUGGCAUUUUAGAUUUUGCUUUUGUGGUUGCAUUUUAUGCCUAUUAAACAAUAGUCAGUGGAGAGAUGAUGGAGAAUGAGGGGAGGGAAAAAUGAGGAUAAUAUGCCGCAAAGCCCUUGAAAAGAAGUGGAGAGACACAGGUGUAAGUGAUAAUGAAUCACGGCUGGAUUGCACUCCGCUGCUUCAGUUUCAUUGUCAUGUCUUAUUGGGACACUUGAAUGGAGCAGCAGCAUCAUUAAUGUUAUUAGUAACACCUGUGCUUUUCCUGCCACGGCAAAUCAAAAUGUCUGCUGCAAAAACUUCACACCUGCAGGCAAUUUAGAGUCUCCAAAUAACCUCUCCUUUAUAUCUUUGAACUGUGGAAGGAAAACCAGCAGCACCAGGAGGAAAACUCCACACAGAAAGUUCAUCAAAAGGAAAAUCCAAAAGGGAACAGCGGCAUAUAGUGGAAGCAUUGUUUGACUGACAGGUGCUCCCCGGGAAGGGAAGUUUAGAGACACCACAACAAAGACAUAACAGCAAAGGCAAAGGCUGGAUGAUGCUAAGCUAAUGGUCCCCAAAAUAUUCCUCAGUAACAUUUUCUAAUGACAGGAUACAUCUGGUGUCUAUUUUAACUGUCAACAAACCAAAAUUGGAUCUUUCUACAGACUUCUUUCCUGUGCAUCCAAAACGGGAAAUGUUUAACCCCAUAAAAGAUAAAAAAAAAGGUUAGUGUUUCCUGAGAUGGCAUUGGCUGAUGAUACUUCCUAAAAUGUAGGAGACAGUGUGCCUAUCUACUAGUUGAUCACCACAAGAGUACAGCAAAUGAUAUCACUUCAUCCCUAACAUGUAGUGUAAUUUAGUGAAAGCAUCAAAAGCUAUUUUUUGACUCCUUUAGUGUGAUUAAAUUGUAUAACCUAUGUAGGCGCCAUAACCUUGGCAGGUGGCCCAGUUUUAAUGCUGACCAUGCUGCCCUUUGCAUGUGUCAUGCUUACCCCUGCCCUCUCCUCCCACUUUCCUGUCUUAUGGUCUUAUCCUCUUUAUUAAGACCAAAACAGCCCAUAAAAAUAUGGACAUUUAUGUAAGACUAAGGUUGCAAACACACUGACGCAAUUUUUGAGCUGCAGAGCUGAUUCUAACCUGGGAUUUUCACCGCAUCCGCAACGGCUCCAAUCCGGAAUGGCAGCGAUUUUCGCCAUACGGCAAUUCCUACCGGAUCCGUUGGUGAGACAAAUUUCGUGGCGGGUACAGACAGCGGGAAUCGCGAGUACUCACGAGAACCCGCGGAUUCACGUUCACUCACGUGAUAACAAGUUGUCUUUAGCCACAUAGGCUAACCAUAUAAGUAGUAGAUUGUGUCCUUCCAGAGGAGGAAACCCACUUCUCGACUUAUAAAAUCAGCAUCUCCUCAUCCAUGGUGUCAUCGGGAUGAAAUGCUGUCCAUAAAUUUUUCACUUGUUGAAACACAGAGUGUUUUAUUUUGAAAAGAAGCCGGAUGUUUUAUUUUGUGUCUGUGCCCAACCACUUUUCCAGCGCAGGUUAAUCUGUGCUGAAUUUAUCCAGCACGCUCCAGCGUCUGGAAAAAAUAGAACUCUUGCGAUCAGCUGCAGAGUCCGGCGAUCCGCAGCGGUACGGAAAGAAGCCAGUGGAAAUUGACACAUUAACUUGAAUGGUUACGAUCAGCUACGAUCGGUGGAUACGGCCUUUUCGUAUGGGGUUCUGGAUGUGAUGGAAAUUGCUGGUAAGGCUGAGUCAAAUUUUAGCUAAUUUCACCUCUCAGGUGUGUUUUUCCAGCAGUGUUCAGGGGUGUCAUGUCAGGCUCACACCGCCCAAUUAGCCACCCCUGAGCAGCUGGAUGAAUUUCUGAUGUGUUAGAAAGUUUUGCCCGCUAAUAGCCUUCUUUUGCUCAGACAAAGCAGAGCAAAGAAGCAGUUUAGGGUUUCCUUUCCUGAUCAUGCCUGAGCUGAAUGGUUCACAGCAUCUGAAAGCACCACGGCGACGAGCCACAUGGAGUGGAAUACACUUUGAAGCACACUUAUAUCUAGCUAUAACAUUACGACCUCCUGUGCCUUCUAAAGGAAUCUAGUCGACAACAUUGUCUACAUUUUCAUAUUUUGUGAUCUGGUCAGAAAGUUGAUGAUUGUCCUCUGUAUGUAUCGCUGAAGUCUUAUAAUCUGACUACAACUUCCAUCUGUGAAAGUUGAACUUUUCAGAGCAGUUUCCAUUGAAUACACACAGUUAUUUAAGCUUUUCCAGCCACACUUGUACAUCCCUUCUUAAAGAAGUGUGUUUAGUAUGGAAGGCUGGCUUUGCUGUCAUGUAAUGUAUUGUGCAACAGACUUCUUCAUUCAUGGUUAUGGACAUUUUGUACAAUCUGUUGACACUGAAAAAAUUGGAAUAACAUUCGACUUAUCCCUAAAUCUCUUAAUCAGUGGGGCAUAUCUUCUUCUGGAUUAAGACAAACCACCCUGAGGAAACACACAGGGAAAGUCUCCAAAUGGAUUUGCUUGAAAAACUCUCAGACUGGCUCAUUCCCUGUUACUAUUCUUUUUAGAGUUUCUGUGCUAAAAGCAGCCACAGCCAAAUGUGUGUGGUCAUGGCUGGAGUUUUUAUUUUUUCCAAAAGCCGCCUGAGUAAAUGAGGAUUGACAGGCCCCUAAUGCCCUCUGCAGCGAAUAAAUGGAUAAUCGAGAAUCCUGUUGUGAUGCCCCCCGUCCCGUGUCUGAGAUGAGACACACAGCCAUCUGAGCACUGCAGUGACACAGCCACAUAUUGACUGUGUAUGUGUGAGCUUAUGUUUGUGUGUAAGAAUGACAGAAAGAUGAAUUUAUUCUCUGACUUUUCAUACUAUCAGUCACACUAUUUACAUAUUCAAUCCUCACAACAUAAUGCACUGACAGUGAUGUUAUUCUGCUGCUGCCUCCAUGGUGUCACAUUUGCAUUUGUUUUUUUUCUCCUUUUUAUUGCAUUUAAAGACCAGUCGGCCGCACACGUCACGAUGAGUGAAUCCAACUUCACAUUUUGUCACACCCACCUCCCCACCCAUGACAAAAUGUGUUGAUAUGUUGCCAAAAAACUCUGUAGAGCUGCUGGCAAAGGGUAAUUGUUGAUUAUUCAGAUAUUUGACAAGAAUUCAUUAAAUUGCUCCGGACAAAUGCAAAUGUCCAUCAGCCAUGGGUGUAUUUGAACUUCUCAACAUCCCUGAAAAAUAAUACAGGUGUAUGUGCCAGAGCAGAUUUUUGAUUUGGAAAUAUCUUAUUUUUAUAUUCCAAAGAUCUUUUUCAACAAAGUGGAUCGAAAAUGUUUCAAGGCAAACAGAUUCCUUUGCUCAUGUCAUACAUCAUACUUAAACUGGGGGGAUUAUGCUUCUGUAUCUUUAUAUCGACCCUCUGUUAGCUUCUUAGCUUAACAUGAUUUACAGUUUACCAAAUGUUUUACUUAUUUCAGGUUACUGUCUUUGAAAACCCUCAUACCAGCCUCUGUCUGAGAUGCUUCAUUUAAGCCACUGUCCCUUUAAGACCUGUCCAGCAUUCCAGAGCCCAGCACUCUAGUAGCCUCCUUCACUGUUGCUAUGCAAAAAGUUGUGUUUCUUUUUACAAAAUGACCAAAAUGCCCCUUUAAGGAAGUUCAAUUCAGAGCAGCCCGUAGUCUAACCUGGGGAUUACUUCAACAUACAUUAACCUUACAAUCUGAAACUUCUCUUAAUUGAUCUGUAGUUCUGAUUGUUAAAGUUAUGGCUGUCACUUUUCAGUUCUGAUAUGAAGUUAUAAGCAGACUAAACUCUCAGUCUUUUAACUUCAAGUUGCUGGUCUGUCUUUGCAUAAAUGUAAACUCCAGUUUUUGGUGCAAUAAUCAGUCUGUCGACAUUGUUGUAAAAUUGAUGAUAAAGUAAUCACCAACAAAUCUGAUUGCUGAUAAUUGUGGUGUCACAUUAUUCGGGUGUUUUUCAUGCUGCGAGCUUGGAUCACAUUGUUUUCCUAGAGUGGAGCUGCAGGGGAUUGAGCCAUCCUGUAUUCAUACUCUGUGCUCAGAGCGACUGGGGAGAGACAGUUGAAUAAAACAAAGCAAAAUGGCUGCAGCUGGAACACCACAUCCUAAAUUUCUUGAAUCUAGUACGUUUCAUAGACUAAGAGACCUUGGAUGAGGUUUAGAUAUGUGCAGGCAUGUUGGAUGUAUCUCUGCAUUGAAUGGAAACUCAGUUUUGAAACUUUACCCUCAAACUCUCGUUGUAUGAUAAUAGUUAUUAAAAAUUAUUCAUAUUAUGCAUUGAAACAAAUUUAUCCAUAUAACAUUAACUCUCAUUAUCUUUAACACCCAGAAAAAUGCAGCUUGAGUUGGCAUCUGUACGUUUUAAGGUUAAAAGAUUAAAAAUAUUAGAAGAAGAGAUGUUAAAUGUACGAUUUAUGUUAUUGGUCAAUACACCAUUCCAAUAAGUGACACCAUCAGCCUGAGCCUCUGCAAAAGACACGCCAACAGAUGUAGAUAACAAACCUAGGAACAGGAAACAGUUUAGUACGUGAAUGUGUCACAAGAUAGAACAACAGAGUUAUCCAUUAAUUUAUCUUAUUUUGAAAAAGGACGUUUUUUGUGGAGACCAAAGAAAGGUCCCCGGUUUAUUGUCUCAGUUUUGUGAUUGAGAAGGAUACAAAAGUAUAAUGAAAUAAAAGCCAGACGGAGGAGAGAGAGAGACUGCUGGCCGAGUCACGUCCGUCUGCGCUGCACUUAUCAGGUUGGGAUUUUCUGGAAGUGUCAGCCGGUGUACGAAGCCUUCAAGGCUCUCGGGGAAAGGGAAUGCUGCGGUAGUGACAGGGCUAUCUGCCUCUGACAGCCCAAAGACCUAAAACCGGAUGGCUGGUGGAGAUAAGGCUCCGUCGGCACUGGACACACACAAAUAGACAGGACACACAUAUACACACACUCACACUCACUCACACACACACACAGGAUGUUUGUGUGUGUGUGUGAGCAGGCGAGUACGCGACACAUGAGCACACAGCCAAACACUGGCAUUCACUUUGCAUUUACAAAUUCCCUAUUGCCUGACCACUCGCUCAUUCAUUCACUCAUAUGCACUGACACACACACACACACAUGCACACACAGAUGCUGGCUCCCUGUCUUCCAGCCAGCGAGGCUUCCCAUUAGCCGUGGUGCAGUGUGCUGGGUGAGGAGCGCUGGGGCGAGAGACAUCAAUUUGCUUCCUCUAAUGCGCUCGCUGCCCCCACAAGACAUAUUGAUUAUUUCUUCCCCGCAAAGCGACAAAUAGCAAUUUCGGGGGCAUAAUGGAGAUAGAUGGUUGGUUUAUAAGAAGCCCCCAAAGAAAAGUUGUCGGGGGGGGGGGGGUGUGCUGAGAGUGGGUGGGGGUAGGGGGGUAGGCGGGGGAGUUGGGGAUGCUCUUUCUCAUCCUGUUUCUUGCGUUUUGUCUCUUUUCCUUGAGUUAACUUUCCAACAUUUUUAAUAGAAGGUGAACAAGAUGAAUUGAGAUCAAAUUGAACCUUAUCAAUCCUUUUAAAGAUGUCUGGUACAUAAAGCACUACUGUACAAACUAAGAGUGACACCAAAGAAAAACAACAAGUGUGUGAGUGUUUUAAUACAGAUGUAGAGUUUAAUAGCUGAGGUUACAGAGUAAAGCUCCAUUGUAAUUUAAGUAUUUGUUCUCUCUUAUUACCAUUUCAGUCAGUCCAGAUGAACGCACACUCCACAGAUGCUCUGGGUCCAGCUGAGUCCAGCCUUUGCAUCCACAGCUGCACUGAGGUAUGGCUGAUCUGUGUUUAUCAUUGGUAUUCGUAUUGGCUCUCAUUCUGUAGGGUUAUAAAAACUUCAGUUGCACCAGGUAAUUAUUGUAAGGCAGCAUGUGAUCUGUGCACAUUUGAAUUACAAGUAAUAUCCUGCAUGACGUUAAAGUGACAGUAAUAUUGCAUAUGGUGGUAAUUAUAAUAAAGGCUUUUACUGACAAUAGAGGAAUAUAGUUUCGAUCAAACACAUGAUAACAAACAUAACAUGUAUUAAUCCCUUAGAAUGUUCUAUUGCACAAGAUAACAGGCUUAAUAUGUCUCAGGCCGAGUUUAAAAAAGCAACACUGACCAUGAAAAUAAGCGUGACAAAGCUGAUUUAUUCAGAAGUAACACAGCGUAUUUGUUGUUUUUUAAAUAAGAUUGCAAAUAAUGUUAAAAACAUAACAGUGAUGGUUUACUUAAAUGUAAUGUUGCACAUGCAAAUGAUAAUCUAGCCUUUUUUAGGACUACUGCUCGUGAUUCAAAAAGAAAAAUUUACCAUAAUAAAAAAGCAGAAAUGCAUACAAUAUGAAAAGCAAUAUUGCGCUUGAUAUGGAAAAAGUAAUAAGAUAUUUACUGUGCACCGUGGCAUGUACUUCAGUCCAUUUUGUCUCCAGAAAAACAAAAAGCAGUCAUAAAGGCUGUAGUUCAUAGCAGAGGUACAGUGAGAGAUGAGUGUAAAGGUAUCUUUGAGCUUCAGGGUGCACAGAUGUUGAGGUGCGACACCAAAGCACUUUCAUUACCCCCCUCAGGAGUGUAGCCUCCUCCCAUCUUAAUGGUUGCACUGCAGAGAGCAGCUGCCACUGCUGUGUUUGCUCUGCCUCGCCCUCCGUCUGUAACAUACUCAUAUCCCUGUUGUUAGCGUCAGGCUGCUCUCAUGGUGGGAUUGUAUGUGUUUGAUUUUGCAAUCUGACUUUCAAAGUUCAUGCAAAGUUUUGGGAUAAGUUUCUAUUCCAGUGAUGGAUCGCUGGGUUGUUAUAGAUUUAUAGAUUUAGAGGUUGUUAUUUUAUUUUUACUGCCCACAGGUUUUUCUCUCUGCAUCAAUUGUUAAGAUGAAAUCUUGAAAUGAAGACUGUGUUUUUCAUUUUCGCUCUUUUCACUCUUGACAAGAAGGCGGCUGCUUUUAAAUCCUGAGACAGCCAAGACUCAUAAAUUUUGAAAAAGUGGACUUCAGUGUCAUCGUGUAGUCUGUUUGCUUUGAAAAAUCGGCUUUAGAGCUGACUAAAAGUCUAAAUAAAUCCUCCAUUUCAUGUUGUUAACAUCCAUAUGCAUUCAUAUCUGCCUUCAUUUAUCUAACAGAAGUUUUCCUGUCAUGAAUCCACCUGCUAUUCUUCCCCAAACUCUCACUGCAAACUCGGAUACUUCUCCUCCAGACAGCUACGGUGUUCAUGCUGUUACAUAACAUGCUGGCUGAUUGGAGGUAUAGCUGAUAGCUGCCAACUGUAGAAGUCAACGCUGCUGCUGACUGCAGGCGGUAAAUGAGGUAGUACUUGUGUGUGUGCAUGUGUGUAUGUAUGUGCGUCUCAUCACAUGAUGGACUGAUAGGAAGUUCAGCUGCAGACAACUUUUCUCUCCCAAGUUGAUUCCUAGUUGUGAUAAUUCUUGUAAAAUCCACUAACUAGUCCAGGAUUUGGAAAGUUCAAAGACUUCUCAGGCUGGUGAAAACAUUGCUGAUGUGAUCAGUCAACACUUGUGUUUAUCUCACUUUCUGAUCAUGUCAGCUGAAAUUGGCUCAUAAAGACUGAAUGUGGGAUAAUGUGAGCAGCAUGAUAGAACAGAUGGUACAAGUUGAGGCAUUCGCACCCUGAAGGAGUUAAUGAGUAAAUAUUUGUAUGUCGGUACAUGGGAAGAACAUUUCCACGAAUUUCAGUCACUUCACUGAUAAAUCUGUGUGGAUAUAUUUCAUUUUUAAUAUGACCUUAAUUAGCCUCUAAAUGUUUACUCACAGUGGGGUCCAGCUCUUCGUGACACUCUGUUUCAAAACUAGCAUCAUAUCUGGCUUUACAUGCUUCUAUGUAGCCCUUUUAAAAUGUUGGUGAUGCACCACACUUAGUCCAAUUACUCAGGGCACAACGACGAUCACAGCAAUUGUAUCUGUUUCAGCCCACUAAUGUCAUAAGAAGAGGUGUUUCGUUUUGCUUCUCUCAAACAGACCUCCCAAAUUGAUGAUAAAACCACAGAGUAGUGAAUCCAACUUGUAAAGAAAACACUAAGAAGUCCCUGUUUCUGUCAGAUUGUUGUAAAUUGUAGCACAUAUUAACAACACUACUGUUGAUUUUGCAUAUUUCAAUUUAGCUCUAUGUUUAAACAGCACGUAAAUCACCGUUUUCUUUAAGUCACAGUCUAAAAUGGCAUCAUGGAGUGCCAAAUUGUCUCAGCAGCGAAAGCACGAGCCCCAAAUACAACAACUCCAUUCCUUAUCCCAGUGGUUACUAGUUUGACUUCCAGCUAGGGCUGGGCGAUUUGGCAAAAAAAAGAUAAUAUUUUUUCUCAUAUCGUCCGAUCCCGAUUAUUAUCAUUUUUUUUUUUUUUUCACUGCCAAGCAUCUGAACUAAAAACUAAAGAAACUAGAGAUAAGUUCAACAUUUUAUUACCAAAGUAAAUAACAAAGCAAAUUAAAUAGGAUAAACUCAGAAAAAUGUAAUAAACAUUUUAACUCAACAGCACAACAAAUGUAGAUAAAUACUAAAAGAUACAGUGAACUAGUUUCAGUCCUGAGUGUUUUUGCAGGUAUGCAAGACUCAAAAUAAACAAAUCGACCCCUCAGGGAUAAUGAAAAUGAAGUGCACGUAGAUGAUAUGAUUGAUUGCUGCUUUAGUCUGGUGGCUGCACAGCUAGUUUUGGCUAAACUGCUAAUGUUACUUAUGCCGUCAGCAGUGGCAGGUUGUGAAGACUCCGCUCACAUUCUCAUGCUUUCCGCAUAAUCACUCAAGAAGUACUUCUUCAAAUGAUUCAACAGAUUUGUUGUGUUGCCGGUUUUUGAGGGCACCAACCCUGACAUACCUUACACAUCGGCUUAAUUGCUCGACGUCACUUUGGAGACACCUGAACCACCACCCCACCAGACGUUGAACAACAUUUUUCUCAACAAUGGCAUCUUUGGAGGAUGACUCAAAGUCAUGGCUGACAUCUAUUUUGCUGCCCUCAGCUCUGCGUUUAGCUCCACGUUCUGUCAUUCUGUUUACAUCCCCUGUUUACUUCUCCGGCAACUUACAGAAGUGAGCAGGAAAAGCUUGACUCUGAUUGGCUGUUGUCACGCACAUUUCAGCUAUGUUUGAUCGAGUAAAUAUGUUCACAGCUGAUCACCAUGAUUGGACUGAAAUUUAUCACGAUCAUAUAAUCGCCCAGUCCUACUUCCAGCCACACUCGGCCUGCUUUCUACUACCUAGAUUCCUUGCCUCUCCUGGCUUUCUGAACAAAAUCAACAUGACACAAAAAAUGUGCCAAAUUUAAGCUUUCUGACUAGCUUCACCUAACUGUUAAGCUGUUGUUAAACUUGUCUUUCACUAGCUGGUGGUGCUAGCUCUUCUAUUGUAAUGUUAGAAGUAUAACGCCACCAACAGAAGACAAAUUUGAUGUAGUUCAGCUGCAGACUUUGUGACCUCAUGUUUAGUCACGAUAAACCAUACUCAAGGUUGUUUUUUUCCAGCUAGUUGGGUUUUAAAUUUUGUAAUGGGCAAAGAUGCCAAAAAGAUGAAACUUCUGUUACAAUCAUAUUUAGUUUGGGGUUUAAAGAAAGUCCAGGUUUCUUGUUUCAGAUUGUCGCUUUUCAGUUUUGAAAUGAAGUUAUAAGCAGACUAAACUCUCAGCCUUUUAACUUGAAGUAUCUUCUCUCAUUGGUUCAUUAUCUGGAUUCCAAUCACAUCAUUAUUAUUACUGAGCAAAGGUCAUUAAUAAACUCAGAUUGACAUUUACGCUCAGGUUUUCAGAUAUUGGAUAACAUCUCAAAAUUUUCAAUUAGGCGAGCUAUCUCCUCUCCCUCCUGUGUGUGUGUGUUUUUGUGUAUGUGUGUGUGGUCCCCCUUUGAUCUCAGAUAUUUCUCAGAGAGCUGUCUUCCUUUUAUUGCUCGAGCUUCACUUUAUCAGUUUUCCUUGAAUAUUUCAUGCAACUCCUUCCCUCGUUUUAAACAACUGUGAUUGUUAAGUCACCAGAAAAUCCAGCAACCACAAAUCAGAUCUUUCUUUGAAGUGUAAUUCUCAAUAAUUCAGUGUUUUUGUGUGAGCGACAGUGGAAAGUGAAGUUGCUUGCUUGCUGUUUAAGAUGGAGACAUGAAGUAAGUACUUUCAGGGUGUGAAACAGUAUGUAAUACUGCUGUUAUGAUACAAAAUAGCAACCUUUUGUGGUUUCAGACUUUAAAUUUGAAUUUUUAUGGCCUUUCUGGUGAAAGAAUUCCAUUAGUGGCAUUAAAACAUGUUGUCAAAGGCACUCUAAAAGGAAACGUCUGGAUUAAAGAGGCUUUAAUUUCCUUGUUUGCAACUUCAAGCGAUGAGGGCACUUGGAUCAAAAGUUUCCCGACCUCUUGAAUGUGAAUUAAGCGAGCAGGACAAGCUGUUUUGUUUUUUCUUUGUGGUAAUGGAUCACAGCUCUAAUUGUAUGCAACAGGCCUGCAGUGGGCCAUUAAGCACAAUAAAUUAUUUCUAAAACUAGUUAAAAGAAAUGCAAAAACUUUGACCGUUCCAGCGACAUUUAUGCCUCUCUGUCGGCUGAACAUUAUCAAUUGAGCUUGUUAAAUGCGGGAAACGCAGCCAUUACAAAGAGCAACAGCUGCACGUCCUUAUAUGUAAACUGACACGACUAACGAAAUGGAAUUUUUAAACACCUCGACCAGUCCUCGGAGGACUAAUAACACUGCCUUCCCCCACGGGACACAGAGGACUUAAAUUAUAGGAAGCAGCCCAUACGGGCAGAAGUGACACGGAAACACAUGCAGAAGGAGCUUAUUACCCGUGUUACUGUCAGCGCACGGGCCGAGCUGCCCGUGAUCACAACAGACAUGUUAUACACCACAGCCGUACUACAGGGGCCGCGCCUGAUAAGAGGACUGAUCCAGAGCGGUGAUGAAAACAGACAGGAGGGAUGGGGAGGAAAGGAAAGGAGGAUGGAGGGAAGGAGGGGUGAUGUUAGGACAAAGAGAAGGAAAGGUAGGGGGAAUGAGAGGGUGUAGACAGAAGGAAAUGGUGGUAAAGAUGGAGGUAAAAAGGGGGCGGGAUGGAUGGAGGAGGGAGAGAUGGAGUGAUGGAGGGAUGAGGGCGCUGCCUAUUAUCCUGCAUCGAUUUACUCCAGUCAGGGAUGGCUGGACGCGUAAUGAAGUGUGGGAUCUGGGGGUGUCCGCGUGCGCUCAUCUGCACCUUAUAGCUUUCUGGAUGCAUUGUGGGAUGAUGUGUCACCUCUGUGUGUGGGCGCGCGCGUGUGUGUGUGUGUGUGUGUGUGUGUGUGUGUGUGUGUGUGUGUGUGUGUGUGUGUCACAUGCAGAUGGUGCGAUCUAACCUGCUGUAGUCAAACACAAAAGUAGAUGGAUGUUUUGCUCGAAAGUGUAAUUGAUGGACUGAUUUGUAUUACAAACCCAACCUACAUGUUCAUUACAGUAUUUACACCCCCUGUAGAAAUGUGAUUAGCAUGAAGAUAUUCAUAAUAGUUUUAUAAGCUCAACUCGUAUCAAAACCUCAAAGAAAAUUUUUAAAAACUGAACUUGAAUCAUAAACAUUAAUAAGUGAAAACCCCAGGAGUCCUAUUUUAAAUUCCAAUCGAACACUUUAUCAGCAUCAGGUUGAAUAUCAGCCAAUAAAAACCCUCAUUUUGUAUUCAGGUUGAUCAUUAAAAGGAAUUCCUGACUCUGUAAUCAUGAGCUCCACACCCACAACUGAAUGGGAUCAGCUUUAAGGCAUUUUUGAACAGGAGAAGAGUUGAUCAAGUUCAAGUUUAUGAGCUGGCUUUUGGCUGUUUAAUCAUUUUUCAAAGUUAGAAUGUCUAAAAUUCACCAGCAGCUGUUUCUUUCUUGGAGAAAUUCAGAAUAUUUGAUGGAUUUUCUCAUUUCUUUCGACAGUAAUCUGAGGAUUUUUGGACUCCCAGCUGUUUAUUUUGACGGCAUAUUGAAGUCAGACUUUGGGCUAAAACGCCUGCUACUUUGAGUCAUAUUUCAGUCAUUUUUGCUCUGUAAUUUCUGUCCAGUUUUAAUUGACCAAUUCAAAACAUUUAGUCCAGUUGGUGUUCAUAAAAACUCUUUUCUUUUAGUCAAAAUGUUUUCCCCUGUGAACUCAUUCACUUAGCAGAUGAGGAACUGCUAUCAGGGUCUGACCACGUCUUGAACCUUUGUAAAGCCACAUUUCAAUCUGGUGGCACUUUUUUACUGUAUUAUUCAAUUUCCUUACUUCAGCUAGAUAACCUGAAGCUCAGACUCUCCCUCAGUACAUUGCUACUGUGCCCUCCCUGUUCCCUGCUGAACGGCUAAGGUACAAAAAAAAAAAGUGCAUCACUCACUGAUUAAAGUUACCAGAGAGAGCUGUAGAGCUCAAAGAAACAAAAUACUCUCUCUUUGGCCACUCUUCCUAGACUUCAAAUAGAUAUGCUUUGAAGACGCACACACUAAGACAUAUUUAUAAUGAAAAAGAAAAAGGAUAUAUUGCAAUCAGUUUGUCCUAGUCCCUGCUGCUUCAUGAAACAGAAUUCUGUAUAUGCUCACUAACGUACACCCAACUUUGACAAAGUUAACAGGGGGCAAAACACGACAAAAAACAGUCACCGCAUUGUUGUAUUUUUUAGCGACACAUUAGACACACAGGAGAAACAUUAACAAACCUUCCAUUUUUCAAAAACUGUGAUUCAUAUUUUCAAAGAUUUCCGACAUCUUUCAGAGUCAACUCUUAAUGACACAGUGAAAAUAACAGACGGAUCAAACCAUGACUUUCAAAAUCCAUCAAAUGCAGACGUUUAGAUGGACACGGUACAAAAUGUUCUUGUAUGUAGAAUGUUUUGGUUUAAAUGAGACACAGAGGGAAAAAAAACACAUUCACAGGGGAUGGAAAAGCAUUGAUUUAUGCUUGAAAAAGAGAAGAAGUAGUCCAAUUUAGGCAUCAAACUGUCUUGUACUCUUGCCAUUCUUUUAUACCUCCUUUUAUGGUUCAGUACAUUUUCCUUUUUGCACAGUGUCAGCCAUCCUCUUGAGGUGCACGAAUCAAAACAAAGAGCGUCCACUGCAGACAAUCAAAUUAAAAGAAAAACACCACUUCUCCUCAUGGGGGUUUUGUAUGUAACAUUUAAAUGUUCCCAGAAAAGAACAAAGGGAACACAUUACAGCUGUGAAAUGACAAACAAGCUGUCCUUCUGUCUCCCUGCUUGUUCACUUCUUGCAUCCCCCGUGUUCCCUUUCCUCCUGCAUCCCCUUGUUUCCUUGAUUUCCCUCCCCCGAAGCCCCACACUUGCUUCACCAGUCUAAUCCGCUCCUCGACAUGCUCCCUCUUUGUUCUGUUCCCCUGCUCCGAGGACAGUCCCGGUGUGCUCGGGAUAAUGGAAUGAAUGCCGGAAUGAUAAACCCCCGAGGAUGCCUGGAGAAAACACAGGAGUGUGUCGAGCAGGGUGAUAACACUCUUAUUCUCCCUUGCAUCUGUCGGAGGAGCAGGGAUUAUGGUUUUACAGACAGGCUUUGCCGAUUUGCAGCCCCUUUUCUGCAGGCUGAGGUGUUUACACUGGAAGGUGUCACAGGGCACCAGAGGGAUAUUCUCACAUCUGUCUCGCACAAAGGUCUUCAUUAGUUCGGAGCAUUGCUUCACAUUGCGCAAGCAUAUCUUUGUUGGCAGCUAAUUUAAAGUCACCUUAUCAAAGUUUGCUGUGCUGAACUUAAUUCCUUAAGAAUGAAGUGUGGCAAUAGUUCUAAUCUGUUUUGUCCACUAUAUUAAAAGUAUAGCACGGCUUUGUCAAUGCGAGCAAAUGAAAAUACAGGUCUCCACCCCAAUUUGCAAGAGAACGCAAUCACUGUUAUAUAUUUGGUGUUGUGUCUAAAUCCCAUGCAAUAACAACCAUAAAUGUACCUUUUAAACUGCAAAUUAUUGUAUCAAAAGUUAUUAUGAUAAUUCUUCAGACCCACAAAGCUUUAAGGAUAAUAAAAUCAAAUAUAUAAACAAGAACAUUGCACUAGCAGACAUGUUAAUACAAUAAAUUUACCAGGGGAAACAUAGUUUCCUCAUAUUUGAUAUAAUACAUUAACCUGCUACAACUGUGUAUCAUUCCACAGCUGAAAGUAGACCCAUACAAUUAGGUUUUACUAUUAUUAUCAACAAACUCAUAUUGAAAUGAAGUAUUUUCUUCAACUGUAUGCCCUAAAUAUCUGUCAUGUGUUGUCUGUGCUGUAAUGCAGCUACCCUCCUCUAGCCGGGGCUGUAACACCAGGAAAUUGCUCCCCCAUAAUGUUUCAGUACUCUACAACCUGAAUGUAAACAAGCACAGAGGGCAUGGCACAAAUGAGCAGUAUCAAGAUCUAGAGUUUGAAGAGAAAGUUGUACGUUAACUCUGUCUGGUCAAACUCGCAUUUCACUACUUGACCAGAGCAACGCAAAACCAGACCAAAGGGGCAGGACUAGCUCUGCUAAGGUUAGUCUGUAGACUGUUUAAUAACUGGAGGUAGCAUCAGUGACAGCACCUUUUUUAAAGCAGAGUUUUGAAGCCCAUCAGUGUUAGUCACCAUGUUGGUGAUGCUUACUCAACUUAAUUAAACCAAUAUCUUCCUUUAUCUACAGACUCUGUCACUCUCUUUAGCUGUGUUGGAAUAAGUCAUACACAAUUAGGAUUAAUGGAUUUUUCUUACUUUUAGACUUAACAGGAGUUGAAUUCUUGUUCAAAGACAGAAAUUACUGACUUCACAAAAUCCGUAGGGGAGAGUGGGGUAAGAUGAGCCAUUUUUCAUAUUUCAGAUCACUACAUCAAGGCAAUCAUAGUUUUGUCUCUAACUAGUGUAUCUGCAUAUAUUUCAAGAUGUUGUUCAUCCCUGGAAACCAACAGAAUGAGUGUAAACAGAACUGUCUUGAUAAUACAGCAUGACAAAAAAAAAAGUGGUCUCCUAUGGUCAUCUUACCACGUGUAUGGGGUAAGUUGACUGUAGGAGCGAGGUAAGUUGAGCCGUAUCCCUACUACCCCUGAUCCUCUUAUCAGACUUCUUUAUUUUCUCAGUUUAGCCACUCACUCAACUUACCCCAGAACUACUAUUAUGACUUUAUCAGUCCUCUAAGCUAAAAUGGUGGACUUUUAUGUUUGGUUUUCACCUCAUGUUGUCGCUCAUAGAGACCAGAAUUGAUGUAUAAAACAAUUUUGAAAUGAUCUCUUUUGGUCUAAACACAAUUCUAAUAAAAUUUAUGACAGACUAAAUUCACUUUUAAGAGUGAAAAAUGUUUUUUUGUAAAUAAAUGUCUAACCUCUUCACCCAUGUGCUUCUAACCUUAACAGACUCCAUGAAUUGAUGCCCAUCUCCUAAAUAUUUGGUCACAUGAUCAAUUUCUUUUACCAUUUCCAAGCAACAGGGGGUGGCUCAACUUACCCGUUGGCUCAACUUACCCCAUCUCUCCCAUAUAUAUAUUCGUAGAGACACCCUCGACUGAUCUUUGCACUUUUACUUUAUUUGCCAAACUUGCACCGAAAUACCUUGAACUCAAUAACUGCUUAAGGUGGGUGGGAUUCACCGGACUUUGCAGGGAUUAGCAUGUAUUGAUUUUUAGGGCUUAGGUUGACGUUAAGACCAGUCAGAACUUUUAACCUUUUCAGCGUAGUUUAACACUUUUUAUAGCUGAACUUUUUCAAGAUACUACCUUCUUUCUUGAUUACCGUCAGAGUACUUGUAAGAGAAGAGGAGAUAGGUUUAAACAUUUUUGGACAAAGACCCUAUACAAGGUAAAGAUUUGUUUUACUUCAGCCGCUGCAGACAGUACACUGAAACCAUUUUCUGUAACAGUCGCUCUGGUACAGUCUGGUCGACUCGGUCAUUAUCAGACAUGAAAUAGGAUUCAGAGAAAUCAGAGUACAUCCAAGCUUUGAGUAAGGAUCUUUGGUGCUGUGAGACAGUGAGGUGAGGAAUCAAUAAAAACUGAUUUGUGAGCCUGUUUUGCUGGUUCAAAACAAUUAUCAGACUUUCAGCCUAUUGGUAAAGUUCAUGAGAUGAAACUUGGCCAUUUCCAGAAAGAGUCUGUCUCGUGCUAUUAUGCUGCAGUCCACCUACUCUCGACCCCAAUCUCCCAGAUAUCCACGCUUUCUCCUCCUCGAUCUAACCCUCCACAAAACCUUUUGACUCGACGUCAGCCCGUGUGACAAUCGAACAAUCUUUAAACUGACCUUGACCACACAAAAAAAAUCAAAGACGUGGGGGUGGGGAGCCUGGUAAGAAAACCUCCCACCCUAAAAAUAGAAAAGGUGGCAAUUAAGUGCCAAUCUAAUCAUGCCUCAAGUAAACGAGCCCUGAAGAUUCCGCCCUCAUAUCCCCCAAGGCUCUUUUUUUCCCUCUUCACACCACUUCCUCAUCAUCAUCGCCGGCUAUCGGCUUAAUUACGCCCCCGCCAUCCUCAGAUAAGAGAGUGAUAGCCUUAUCACCACGGCUCAUUUCCAAAUCCAUGAAAUUAAUAAAGUCUACCUCCCUGUCUCAGUUCUGGGGCCAAACUUAUAUGAGCUGUCACGUAGGAGAAGUCAAUGAAGUACUGCUUCGCCUGUUCCCACAGCUGGCGGAGGGAAGCUACCGGAAAUCAUCCUCCAGGAGAUUAAAGACACAGCUUUUUUGUGCUAUACGUAAAUUAUUUGGCCUCUACUUUUUCACUCGGAUGGGGGUUAUGUCCGUGUGUUAGUUUUAUGAUUCAUCUUGUUUCAUUUAUCAUCCGCACAGUAGCCGAAUUGUCCAUUUGGUGCUGUUAGUUACUUAAUUUUCCUUAAUCUCCACCUUGGGAAAUCUGCUAAAUCGCACAGUUUUGUCCCACGCACACUUCAUUGCUUGUGUGUGAAAUAUCAGCGAGCAGGAAUAUGUUGGAGCAAAAGAGCUACCUGGAGGCUGAUCAUAAACUCUCAGCUUGUUAUAAGUGAGUGUGUCUUUAUCUGUGGAUCAUCAAUAAGCCUCUAAUGAAAUAAACCAGAGCCGGAGCUUCUCUCCAGUUGAGUCUAUGAGUUUUCCAGCUCUCCAUGUUGGCUGCUGUAAUCAGUGGGGAGACAGCUGCUUUCACCACGCUGUUCCACCUGCCCGCUCCCCUGAGUAAAGGGCCGUGCUUCGCCGACCAAAUCCACUCCAAGUCUCUCUCUGAGGUCUGCUCCAGCAUGACUGGCAGGGGUCUCACACAUCGAUUCAAGGAAAGAAAAAAAACAGAGAAGGUUGGGCGGACCCGUCAUUGCGCCGACGCUGGCAGCCGAAUGAGACGGGCUCCCACAAGGUUUGGAGCCUGUCAUUUAUUUCUAAACGACGGCAGAUGGUGGGCUUGGCGCUCGCACCAUCCUCUCAAUCUCCCAAGGUGCACUUCUGUGAUGGAUGUGGCGAAUGGGAGCGCUGCAAGAGAAGGCUGAGGCACAUCUGCGCCUGCCGAUAACGGGGGGCAAAGUAUGUCUGGGCUUUUCUAACUGCGGACUAGCUCUCUCAUAUUACGCAUUCCCGCGCAGGCCUCUUGAGGACUCAAAUCUUCCCAAGUUUAUUUGCCUCUCACUUUCAUAGCUUUGCUUUUGGCUGCUCUUAUCAGCAGGACACCUUUCUGUUUACCAUGCAGGUGCACCUUAAGUUUAACACUGCUACCUGGCAGGGAAGUAUAAGAGAUACCCCUUAUGAAAAGCUAUAGCUGGAUGAUUAAUCAUCACACAGUUAUAUUACCUACAACCAUCAUGCAGCCUUUAGGCUCUUCACAAAGUUCACACUUACAGGAGAACUUUAACAGGAAGUUAUCUAGAGCUGCCAACAACUUCAGACAAUCAACUUUUUAUUUAAAAGUGUACUUAAACUUUAUUGGCUUUUCUUCCUAUUAGUACUCUGUCUGAUGAGUUGUCUGUAGGGUCCCUUGUAGAGCCGUAAAACAGUGAAAACACCGUCAUUAUCUGCCUGAGUGUCUCUGCCUGAGCUUACCCACGCUGCAUGAGCUUUAGAGGCUUUGGCAGAGAUAUAGGCUCACAAAUUGUGUGAGUUAAAGUUAUAAAUUUGGGUGAACCGUGUGACUAGCAACAAGAUAAGGCACAAGUUAGCUGUGGUGUCCACCAGAAGUCAUAUAGGCCAGUACUGUGAUGAGGGUGUAAAUUGUGGGGUUUAUGUGAGCUCCUGUGAGAAACCUUUGCUCGAGUUGAUUCUGGCGCCCCCUGUGCACGAAUAAGUUCACCUUGCUGCAGAAGAAAAGACUGUUAAAUAUACUGCAUAAUCCUCCUUUGUAUGACACCUAUCCUGCAGGAGUAUUAAAAAUAACUGCGUAAAAGUUAUCGGUCGUGCUGUUGAUGAUCUUUUUAAUUCAGUCUUUUUCAUAGCCAAUUAAAAAUCUCCUUGCAGGAUCUUUCAAUUGUUUCACUACAAACCUAUAGACAAGUUAAAGCUCCUGUGUGGAGUUUAAGCCGAUCACAAACUGUACUUAUAUUAUAGCUGAUGCCUCUAUAAACUGUAUAAGUUGCAUGACUGUUAGCAACGUGGUGAAUCUCUGUGAUAUUCACAAUCAAAUCAGACUGAGAGCGCCAAGAUGGACAAUGUCGGUGUUGUUGUUCUUACUUGUUGCACUGCAAAUAUUUAUAGUGGAAACGCAACAGGAGGAGAUUUUGUGGCUAACACCAUUUUCACAAGGACGAGAACUUGCACUGUUUGCUCCAAAAGGGGGCGCCAAAUUUGACACAGAAAGUUCCUCAUUGGAGCUUUAAAAACGUAAAAUAAAAAGUGAUUUAGAGAGAGGAACAAAUGUUUAGACUUAAAAAGUUUUGAUUGAGGUUUUUUUAUAGAUGAGAAGGAUCAUUUCCCCACUUUGACUAUCAUGGCCUUCUUCAAUAAACAGAGACCAAUAUUAUACGUAUUACAUGCAGUCACAGUAUACAAAAAUAAGUUAAGAACCUUCAAAUAUGAACAGCUCAACAAAAGAAUAUAGCAAACACAUAACCAAAGGAGCAUCAGACAGGGGAAUAAGGUUACUGAGUCAUAAGAGAAUAUUUACCAUAGUCCUCCUGGCUGAAUCAGCUCGUAUUUGAUCAGUUAGUAAGGGUUCUUGGACAAGAAGAGGUUAUAAAUGUGGGCAAGAAAGAACAUUUUUGUGUUAUAUUUGAAAAAGGGGCGCCGAGGAUGGAGCUUUGUCAUUUUUAAAGGAGCAUUAGUGCAGAAUUUACAGUGUCUCAAACUUCUUUCGUACUUUUAUUGAAAUAUUUGGGUUCAGUUUCAACCUCCUGGCUCCCUGAAGAUCCACUGUCUCCUUCUUUCACUAGAGCUGUUGACAAACACACCCCUGUGUCCCACACACCCUCUGACACAGUAGAUUCAAAGACACAUUAAAGUGAGCAAUCGCCGCCUAACAACACCCUUGCAAAGGUCACGUCAGCUUCAUCAUCCUAAUCAUCGAACACCAUCGCUUCCUGUGAUUUAGGGUUGCAGUAAAAGCAUCACAACCCACCCAGCCACAUCCCUGCCCAUAAACGUAUCCAUGGCAACAGGGACGUCGAGCUGCCCUUCCGCCGAUGCAUCUUUGGGAUUCUCUGUGCGUCGCUGCAGGGUGACGAGUCAGGCGUAAAGAGUCGAUUUAGCUGCGGCAUUGGGGAGGCUCGCACAUUAGCAGAGAGGAAAUAGGAGCCAGCAAAUACUUAGUGGGUGAUUGGCUCCGCAAUAACAGAACACCCCCUUUGGCAGCUCGUCAAGCGCUGCUAUACGGAUGCCAUUACAAACAGGGGGCCAUUAGCAGGCGAGUGAGGCUUUGUGAGGCAUGUCGCUGCACGUCCUCAACCCCCAGGGCUGCUUUUUAAAGAUGUGUAUGAUCAGCUGUAUGCCCAUCAUCCUGCGUGUUUACGAAGGAGAGUUGGCAUUUGGAAAACAUCAGAAUUUCAUCCAACUGAAGCUCUUUCUAUAAGAAAAAUACAUGUAACACGGUAAAACAUGUUGUAGCAGUCCCUCCUAUAAGGCCUCGUUACACCAAUCCCCAUUGCAAAAAGAAGCAAUUUAGGUCAAACAUGGGACACAGCAUAUAUACAGAGCCUCAGAGGAUGAGACCCAGAUCUAGCUCAGAAAUAAAACCUUUAUGUUGGCUGAGAAUUUUAAACUGCUCUUUCAUUUCACAUGUUGUUAAUAUUACGGUUUAUUAGCCCCCAAUAGCAGCUAUUUCAGAUGAAGAUUUUGAACCUCCUUUUUGCUUUAGGCAGCACCGUAAACUUGAGCUGCAUUACAAUGUGACUCCCUCACUUUAGGAAAAAAAAAAAGCUUUGUGAUUUUUAUGCCUCACACAGAGCCGAGAAGCUCUGUAUAUGUAAGUUUGCUGGAUCUGCACAGAAGCGCUAUUAAUAUGCAGUAAAAUGAAACUGAACCAGCGGUGGGAUGAAUAUUUUAUCAGCUAAGAGUGCAGAGAUGCCUCUCUCCGUAUUUCUUCUUCUUGUGGGGUGAAAAGCCUGUCAAAUGUAAUCUAGAGGUUGUAAUUUUGGAAGUAAAAUGAACAGAAAACGCCUGCGGUCAUUUUACAGACAACAGAUUUUUAAGUGGUCAGAAGAGCCUGUUGAUGCUGAUUCCCCAUUCUCCCAGAUUAACUAAUCACUUCUGUAAUUUUAUGAACGAGAACAUGUUUUUGUCCACUGAAAUGAUAAACAGCUGCAAUGGUGUGAACGAAAUAACUAAUCAGACCAUCGCCAAGCUGAUGGAGUCAAAGCACAUUCCCAGAAUAAUGGUGAUAUUUUCCUGAAUACAAUACCCUGCAUAAACAGAAUCUGAUUGUAAAUUCAAAUAAGAUGCAAAUAAAUAAGGGAAGGGGGAUAUUGAAGCACAUUUCUUUCUGUUGCACAGUUCUGAUCGGUUUGUGCUUCAGUGCACCAUCAAAUGAAAAAGAGGAAGAAUCCUUCUCAGCUCCAGUUUGUAUCUGACGUACAGUAUUUUACAUGCCGACUUCAUACCUUUUGAAUAAUAAGGGGGAACGUCUGUGCACAAGAAAGGCUUCUCAAGCUUCUUGCCAGAGCCAGAACACUCAGACUCGCUCUCAGUGCAUGAGGAAAUACAAAAAAGCACAAUGCACAUUGUGUGCAAGUAAAAAAUAUAAAAGAACACAUCCUUCCCUCUUCUACUGUGUCUGAGGUGUAAAGGCUCACAUUUUUAUAUUGAACCAUUUGAGUACAGUGCUUCCAAUUCAGAGAAUUAGAUACAUACCAAAAUGGUUUGGUAAAAAAUUAAGUUUUUUAAAUCCAAGGUCUUCCUAAAGACCAGAAACAGGAGUGCACCACACCUAUAGCCUGCUUGUGUAGCUCGUCAUCCAGGCUGUUGGUUUCAGUUCAGUUAGCAUGCACAGUCCAGUUUAGCUAAUGUUUUUAACUCAAUUAAGCGAUUUAUCCUGACUCCUUGUCCCACUUUACAAACAUUGGGCAAGAAACAAAUCAUUGAUGGAAGCACGUCUUCCUUCGUUACAGUAGGUGGCGACAUGCCCCAUUUCAGCUCAGUACCACCGGGUUAUUUUCUGGUUGAUAAACAAGCAACAAGCAAGUGGCUAACAAGAUGUACAUUAAGUGAUCAAAAUACUGUCACUUUUGCAGUCCUAAACCUUUAAGACUCACACUAGGGUGACUAUAUGUCCUCUUUUACCUGGAUAUGUCCUCUUUUUGGGGGGCUGUCCGGCUUUGUCCAAGGGAAGUUUGUAAAAUCCUUCAAAUGUCCACGGUUUUGUACGUAAGUUUCAAUUUCGUGUCUCGUGGACUUACUGAGUUAGAACUACAUAAAAGACACUCGAUCUGACCCGAAAAACUCUCUAAACUAAUUUUGUGCGACUCUGUGACUCCGCCCCCAAGUAGUUGUGUCGUCUUUUUCGGAAGUCAGAAUAUGGUCACCCUAAAAAACACAUUUACAUAGAUUUUAAAAGUCAAAUAUGAUGCAAUGAAUAGAUUUUUUUUAACACGCUAACGUGAGUGACUUUCUUAACGACUCACCUCCCAACAAACUGAUUUUUUAUGAGUUUUCACCUGUGAUCAGUUUUGUGAUGUAUACUAAGACAGCGGUUUCUGGUUAUCCUCAGUGUGUCUUUUACAGUGAGUGCAGGAGAGGCUGAACGAAACGUGCUCAUGAAAAGAUGGCAUCAUUCUUAUAAAUUAUAGGAACAUCUUUGACCUCUAGCUCAAAACUAAUCUAAAGUGGUGCAUCGUUAGAAACUCUGUCAUAAAGUCUUGAUCCUAAAGCUUAUAUUCAGCAUUGUAAAUCGUGAUACAUUGUGUUCUUAAAUGUGCAUAUGUGUGUGUUUGUCAACCUGUCCCUGCAGAGCUCCAAUGUGCAGACAGCAGAGGAACAGGCGAUAACAGCCACAGCCAUAUGAGUGACACAGUCGAGUUUAGCAUAGUAGUUUUUUAGUUACUGAUUUUUUUCACUUGAUAUGACCAUAAUGGCACAAAUAUUUAUCAAUUAGGUGGCACUCGAUUUACUUGCCAAACUGAAAAUUGCCAUGCACUUGGAGCUUGGCGGGGAUUGGAAUCUGCUGCACUUUUUAUUUUUUAUUCUAUUUUAUUUCUUUUGUGUUAACUUUUCUGAUUGUGCUUUAAUUGAAAUGUUAUCAAAAGUAAAUAUGAGCAGGUCCACAACCCUUGAUCUGUCACAGCUUAGGUUGUGAAAUACGGCCAUCCCGGGCGAGUGCCAGUCUCUCUCCAGUCGAGAAUAUACUCUUGUCUUGGCAGAAAAGACUGAACUAUCUUUUUUCUUUAAUAUUUUGGGGAUUUUAGGUGUCCAUAAUGUAUUUUUUAUCAUUUAAUUAAACUGUUGCCCUGAAAUAACCAAACUGUGAUGGUUUGACAACAAUCCAACAGUCCCAAAAUUUUAAUAAAUGUGUCAACGAUCAAAAGUUUUUUAAUCUAAGUGGGCUUUGCUUGUCAAACAUGACAAAAUUAAGUCCUUAACUUUAACAGAUUUUCUUCCCAAACUUUUGCCCACAGACCAAGCAACCAUAUUUGUUGAUUUGGGAGUGUGAAUGUGUUGUUCGCAACUGCCUCUGAGGCUCAUGGGUUGUAUAGUCUUUAGAGCUAUAUUGUCUGCUGAACUGGGAGAGGAAACAUAAAUUGAGUUGAAAUAGCUGCAGCAGAACAUUACAAUAAAAAUUCAGACCGGAGGACAAACUGAAGCUCUCCAACUUUGCAAUUCUAUUGCCUGCUAUCUGCGCUGCAUUCACUGUCCGUUUGACAUCUCAGUGAAUAAGUGUGUCUCUCCCUCCAGUAAGGUCCUGGGUAGCAAAACCUCUGGUAAAGCAUGGGCUACACACAAUGCCUUCUGGGACCUCUGUGCUAAAAAUGCAUUCAUGAUAGAGCCUCAUGAUUUGGAUGAAAACGUCCGGAAAAUAGUGUGUGUUAUGUUAAAUUAGCCGCCUGCCCUGCUUGGUCCAGCUGUGUGCACUUCAAUCGUCUCCUCUACCACCCAUGAGGUGGUGUAUGAACCCCCCUAGGAGGGUUUUUUUUUUUUUUUCACUUUCACAGUCCUGCAGGCACCCUUGCUGACUGACAUCUCAUUAGGAGAGCGGGGCGCCGUGCUCGUGCUCGCUCACCGCCAGACAGACCACGCCACAGGCUGCAUGCUAAUUGCAGAGGCGUAGUCGGCAUGAGACGACCUUGUAUGGAUGAAAAAAAAAGGAACGUAGGCAGGGAAGUGGUUGUGUUUAGCGUCUGGUGGGCAGGGGGGCUCUGCUCCGCAAACCGCUUUAGUCCCGACCUUGGGCGGGAAUGUCAGCCAAGUCUGACCACUCACUGAAGGAAGAUCAAAAUUUGAAAGCCUCAUUAAAAUAACAUAAGCAGAGCCCUGUGCUAUACAGAGUAAGCCCUUUAUUUAUCACACUAUGUUAUAUAACAGUCUGUAAUGAGUAAAGCAUCACAGUGAGUGACAUUAAUUUGCUGCUUAUCAUAAAUUUACUACAAUUUCAAAGCUUGUUCUCUUGCUUGACAACUCAUUAGGUUCAAAGCCUUAAGAAAAAGUCUGACUAAAAACACACCCUGGCAGUAAUUUAGCACAUCUUGGUUGUAGUUUAUACACUUUCACCUCUUGUGACAUUAAUUUAAAAUGCGCCUCAGAUAAGUUACAGUUUUAUGGUCAGGUCAUCCUCACAAAGGACGUGUUAAUUCUAUCAGCAUAAGCUUUUUCAUAAACUCUGAAUCAUAAUGCAGAUAAUAGACAAUCCUUUCUUUUUUCACUAAGCUGCUUUAUAUGUCAUUUUUACCAUAUGUACUAUUAUAAGGGUGUAAUGAUUUGGUCAACUGACAAUACGAUACAAUACUAUAUGAUGCAACACAACAUAGCACGAUACAGUUUGAUACAUUACAAAGCAAUAUGAUAGUGUAUGAUAUGAUACAAUACAAUACAGUAUGAUACAAACUGAUACAUGGCAUAAAAAAUGCAGUACAAUAUAAUAUGACACAAUAAGAUUUGAUACAGUGGGGAAUGUAACAAAACAACAUGCAAUACAAUAGGAUAGGACACAACACGACAUGAUGUGAUACAAUACGAUACAAAAUGUAACAAAACGAUAACUUAUGAUACAAUAUGAUACCGUAAAAUAGAAUACGGGAUUAAAUGACAUGAUACAAUGUAAUGCGGAGUGAUAGGGUACAAAAAAAAUGAUAAUACACAAUUCAAUACGACACAACACAACAAGGAUACAAUACAACGUGAAAGGACAUGAUGCAAUGUAAUACAAUCAUUUUAAAUUUAAAACAGUUCAGUGGGAUAUUAUGUACAUGUUUUAAGAUAUUUGAUGUAAGAUAUAAUAUCACUUGAUGCAAUUUAAAAUGAUAGAAGAGGAUAUAAUGGGAUAUGAUACAAUACAUACACUGCGAUACAACAUGAUAUAAUAGUAUUACAAGCCACAAUGACAUGUUUAUUAUCCUUGUUUUUAAACCAUCAAUUAAUUGUGUAGAUAGUCUUGUUUAAGUUCAAGCUUUAGUCGUGGUAUUUGUGUUGCUUUUGUUGGGACAAUUUUAUUGUCGUACGUCUAUUGCCUACUCUGAUGGCAAAAAAAACUUAAUUUUAAAAGAAAGUGAAAAGCCACUUCUACAACAUCAUGAAGUAACAGAUGUGCAAGAAAGGGGCUAAGAAAACAAUCAACAAUAAGAAAUAUUUGCUGUAUUUUUGCACUUAAAAUGUUCUGUUUGUUGAUGAUGUUUCCAAUGUCCUCUUUCUUGCUCUGUUAAGAUAAGUCCGCUUUGCUGUUUAAAAAAGGGUCGUUUGUCAUCUUUCAACUUCAAAUGAGUUUUCACAUGUACCCAUUUUCAGCUGCUCGCCUUUAGCAAAUCGAGAGAAAUAGAGAAAGAAAUACCUCUUUUGAACAGGCAGAUACAAUAUGUGAAGACAGAUUCACUGGUGGACAGCCGUCUGCUGCAUCUGUGGAAAAACAGGACUAGAGGAGAGCGGCAGAAAGUGUGGGCAUCCUGUCUGAUCGUUCUCUUGACUUGUGUAUUUCAAAGUCUGGCCCCCGUCUGGCUUUAUCUGUAAUUUCAUCAUAACCUCUCCAGUCCAAUAACAUGACCUUUUUUGGCAGAGCGCUCACAUCUGACAGGUUUUUCUCAAGCAGCUAAACUGGAAAAGUCCUGCAGAUUAAAUUCCAAUCAAUGACAGAGCACAUAAACAGCGGGAUGUAGAGAGAAAAGGACAGAAAGGUUCUCCAAAAAGGUCAAAAGUGGCCCACACAGUUUAAGCAGUAAAAGUGAUAGGUGCCCUGUCACAGGAAACAAAGCUUUUGUGUCUUUCUCAUUGCCGAAACUUAAUUUAGUUCCUUCCAGUAAAGGAUAUAAAGCCUGCAUUGUGUGGUAGAGCGAGAGACUUUGACACACACUGAGAGAGAGAGGGAGAGGCUGUGGAGUUCUGUCUGUUUUAGUGCCAUUAGUUCCUCCCUGCCACUCAUUGAUAAAGAGGCGCUGCCAUCAGCCAAACCAGCCAUCUCCUUCAGUCCUCAUUAAAAUGUCGUCAUAUUAAAAAAUAAUUUCAGGGCCUUUGCUGAUGAGCGUUUUAUUGCCUUCAUGAAAAUGUUCUCACUUCAGAGUCGACGGGAGAAAGAAAAGCUUCAAUGAGUAAUGAAAGCGGGGAGGGAGAGGAAGAGGAAGGACAGAGGAGAUAAGGGUGAUUGGUUGUAUACUUGGGAGGACCGUUUCGAUAUUUAGACGAUUAAUAAUUUCUUUCUUUAGCUGCCUGACAUAAACAUGCUUUCUUACACAAGCCAGGAGAAAAUGAGGCUUUAUCUUGUUCAGUGACCUGAAAAUGAGAUUACUUUAUCUGUAUUAUUUGCCACUAUAAGAGACAUUCAAUGUCAACAGAGAGUGUUAGUUUUAGAGUGAAGAGCAAAAAUAUAAGGACUGAUAUCCCCUUAGAUUACAUCAGACUAGAAACUUACUUUAAGUACUUCAUAAAUUUUUUCAACAUAAAAGCACACAAUAUCACCAUGUCAUCAUGAUAACAUAUUUUCUGACAUCUCUUUAUUUUACUGUGAUAACCCUGAUUAUGCCUUUACUUUAGUCUGUAUAAUAAUGAUGGAUGACAUGACAUCCCUUGAUAGUGAAGCCAAAAUAUUUAGAGCUCCCUCUACUGACUAACUGCAGUAUGAGUUGUAGACUGCCUUCUCCAUGGUAACGGUAGGAAAAUGGUCAGACUUUAAAAUCAAAGCACUAAAGGCUGAUUUUUUUUGUUUCGGUCAUAGUUAGUCAUAGUAUUCAUCUAAGAACUUAAGCUCAAAGAUGCUGUUUGGGUGCUAUAAUAAAUAGAUGGAAAGCCAUACUUGACUGUUCUGUUGACAAAUGCAGCAAAAAAAAAAAACGCAAAGACAAAUUUUAGAGUAAAAGACAAAUAAGGGAUAUAUCAUAACUUCUUUAGCAUGCAGGCUUCACUCUUGUACAACUGAAGGCGUAGGAGACUCACCAUCAAUCAUAACAUAAAGACUAUGAGUCUUGUUAAAGCUUUUUUAUCAAACAUUUGUGCCUCCAUUAGAUAAAACAGGCAAAGAGCUGUAGUCUCUGUAUAUGGGACACAAACAGGCGCCUCUAUUCAUUGUAAUGAUAUAUUAUUAUAAUAAAGCUCUCAUGGUGUAAAAUGAAACUGUAUCUCAUUAAAGCUCCUGUGAGGAGUUUUAAGCUGGUCAUAAAUCAGACUAGUAUUAAUACAGAUGUCUUUAUGUGACCUACAAAAGCAAACAAGAACGUCAGCAACAAGAUUGAUUAUUUCUACAUUUUUAUUUUUUUUGCCUUAAAGUGCUGCUGCUGCGGUGAAGGUGUCAGACUAAGUGCUGCAGAAACAGCUCGUUGAAGAAAACAGUUGUUUGUGUUUCCCGCAGCAAAGAUUCUUGAUGAGUGUAAAAUUUGUAAACAGGGUGGGAUUUUUUUGAAAGAUAAAGGAGCAUGUAUGUGUACAGGACAAGAUCAGCAAAGACUUAUAGCUUUGUCUUAAAGUGAAACCAAACCAAGAGUGGUCCACUGAUAGCCCAUGUCAAUGCUGAUUAACAAGAGAGCAAGUACGCAAGUAUCACAUUGUUGUUGUUGUUUUUGUUUUGUUUUUUCUUUGAAUUUGUUCAGAAACAAGAUUUUAGUAAUUUGACCGAUCAAAACCAAAAUUUUAGAGUUUGGACAAACAAUUUAUUUAAUAAAUACUGGCAGAAAAAUGUUGGUCUGAGUAGAAUACCGCCACAAGGAAGUUAUGGACUUCUUUCAAAUUAUCGGUAAUAAUUAAUACACUUUCAGUAUGUGUCAGUUUUGGCGCCCCCUGUGGACAAAGGAGUCUUUCCUUAUCUUGUCCGGUGAUAUUUUUUUCCAUAGGAUGGCAAAGUCCCGCCUCCUUAGCCUUUGAUUGGCUAGAAAUGUCACCACACGCUGUACAGAGCCAAACGUGGGAUGUCGGCUCUGUACAGCGAACAGAACAUUACAGAACCUCAGCUUAAUCCUAACCCUAACUCUUACCCUAACCCUAACCCGACAGACGAUGACGUUUCACAGCCAUUAGGAAUAACCAAUCGGAGCCCAGCUCUUCUAGCCAAUCAGAGGCGAAUCCCCUACCAUCCUACAAAAAAAAAAAUUUUGCGUCCUCCAACAUGCUUCAAACUUAUUUUUGCUAAGAAAAAAAAAAAAGUCAUCCUUUUACAUUUUUCAUUUUCUUAUACCUUUAGAUUGCUCACAAGUUGCUUUCAACUUCAACAAAAGAAAGAAACAAACAAACAUGGAUUUAAUUUUCUACUUGGUCCAAAAAUGCUUCAAAAAGCACUAUUUUAUCAUUGGGACCCAUGAAAUGUAAAAAACAAUCAUCUAAUGUCUACUUGCACUUGGAAAAACACAGCAGAGGGCUGAAAAGGAGUGAAAGGGUUUAUGCGUAGGAAGUCUUACACAUGCAGACCUUGAAAGUAACAUCAUGAAAGCGGUUAACGACACGCAAAGUGAAGUUUCGAUAGCUGCACGAAUACAGCUCAAUACAACCCCAGAAAAGAAAAGUCUCCACAUUGCAGCAUACAUGUUUGAUAAAACAGACAUUGAUCUAUCCUCCUGUGUGUUUCAGUCAUCUUUUCAUCAUUUCCAUUUUGCUGAUUUGUCAUUCCGAUAAUGAAAAAUGAAACAACAGCAUGCAUACAUAACAUUUGCAGUAAAAGCUGAAGAGAAAACUGAUGAUGUGAAGUGCGUAUGCUCCUGCUUCACAUCCAUCCGGGAUGUAAAUUUAAUGCCACCAUAUGCUGAUGUUUUCAGGCGGCAGCGUUGAUUAAGUGACUCUGUUGUGUUUGAUGAAGAAGUAGAAGUUUUGCACCAUUUGUUAUCUUGCAGUGCACUAUCUCUCUCUCUCUCUCUGUCUCUCUUUCUUGUCCGGAUAAUCGAGUUUCUAUUCAAAAGGGAGCACAAAUAAUAUUAGCACAGUGUAGAUUCUGUGUUAUUUCCCUGAGCUGUGUGUUUUCCUUAUGAGAUAUUUUAAUUGUAAAUAGAAACUCAAUCUAUUAAUGCGGGAAAAUGUGAAUUAAGAGAGGAAAUUAAAAUACACAUGAGCAGACUGAGCACACAAACGCACCGUUCCUAUGAGUACAUUAAUGUCCCAGCUGAAUAUACACAUAACUACUUGAUUGGCCUCCAGGGAUGUAAUAUCUACGCUUUAAUUUCAGAUAGCAAGUAAGCAUAUCCUGUUACAAGCCAUUACAAGAGUCUAAUGCCAGGCGCUGUGUUUGUUAUGCUCUCAUUUUAUAUCCUCGCUUCUUAGGAUUUGGCUCUGUUUGAGAUGAGAUGAAAAGAUUUCUGCUAUUUGGGUUACAGCGAGAGUUUCUUGUCUUGCAAAAUUUACUCGCAUAAUUAAAAAUAAUCAGUUAAAAAUAUCUCCAGUGCUUAUUUAAUGUCUCCAAAGUAGGAGAAAGAAAGUUUUAGAGGCAUAAAGUGGAUGAAAUUAAUUGCACAGAGUGUAAUAAUCUAUUUUUGGAUGUUUUUUUGCACCACUGUGGCUGCUGGACAGAAGCAUUCGUUUCCUGCCCUGCAUGGCUCUGGGCUCAUUCUCUCACCAGUCAAAUUGUUGCUUGUGGCUCAGAGUUUCAGGCUUGUAAUACAGACAGAAGGUGCCAAACCAGUGUAAGGUCAUUACUCAUCCUGCUGCAUACUGAGAGUUGGGCAGAAUUAGAAAGCGAGCUGAAAUGUGCCAGUCAGGACACGCCAAGGGGUGUGGGUGGAACUCAGACUGUUUCAGUCUGGUAAGAAAAAAAUACCAAAAGCAACAAAGUGUGGAUGUUUUAAAAACUUUGAGACAUUUACAGCCAACUGAAUGUGGUUAUUUUGUGUAAUUUAGUCUAAUGUGCAACUAAAACACCAUCAAUUUGUUUCAAUGAAGGGGGUCAAGUAGGAAGAAAAGGACUCAACCCACAGGUUUUCAUUCAAAAUGUGUGCAUUUCUCUCCUUUUAUCAGAAGUUUUUGGAGGUCUUUUUGACUUAGACAUACAUGAAUGACCAACUCUACCAAAAGGAACCAGUGCUGGGGGUUUAGCUUCAAAACGACAGCAUUAUACUGUGACGGUCUGACUAACAAACAGAAACUCUCAACAGUUAAGCUCAAUCAACGUUGUUUUCUGCUCAUUCAGUUUAAUCUAAAUGUAAAACAACUUUGCUGUUCAAUUUGCAAGAGGUUUUGGACAGAACGUAGGGACAAAACAGUUUAUGCUUAAGAGGUAGUCAAGAGUCCCAUCACUCCAGUCCAGACAAAUGGAAAGUCAAUGAAAACUUGUCCACUUCUAUUCAACUACUACGAUCAUCAGAAUACUUACAACCGACAGAGACAUCUUACUCUGUCCACCAGUCAGUUUAGAGCGGAGGAAGACUUCAGAGAAGAAGAGGGGAAGCAUUUUUAAGAACUUUAACUGUCACUAAGUUUAGAUGCUUUAAAAAAAGAUUUUUUUUUCCUUAGUCUGACUGAAACUGGAUUUUGAAAAAGCAAUUUUCUCUGUCAUGUUUAUGGCUCAAUCGAGCUGAAACUGGCUGAAGCUGUCUGCAUACGCCCCAGUGUUGAUCCUAAAGUUGAAUAUCAUGAAUAUGUCGCUAGGACGCCAGGUAGUAAACAAAAUCUCGUCAGAUAAAGAAAGGAUGUAAAAAAGAUAAGACUUUCCCCAGCAUACAAAAAAAGCAUAAUGCUGUAAAAGUGACUGUGUUUCCUGUUAGCCUCUUGCUUGCCUGGUGCUUAUUAAGUGGGACAAAGACAGUAGUCCAGUGAAAUCAUCUAAUUGUGCUAUGACUGUGGCUCGACUUACCGAGCAUGUAAACUUCCUGAAUGUCUCAUUACCCUUUUAGAUUGAGCUUUGCAAACUGAGUUUUGGUAUUUUGUCCAAACGUCUGUAGGUCUCUGCCUCUGCAGCCACUGUAUUUGCACAAUAACAAUUGAACGCCAUACCAAUAAAAAACAAGUGAUAUUGAUUCCUAUUUGGAUACCAUGGCAACAAAAAUAAACUCCAGGGCAUCCAUAGAUGGGUAUCUGUUGCUUUUUUAUUACCUUAUUUGCAAACUUCUGCGAAGUGCUGAACCAAGCCGGUGCAGAGAAAUCAAUGAACAGAGACUAAAAUUGAGAAACAGGUAAAUAAGAUCUUAAAUUUCUCUUUCAGUGCUUUGCUUCCAUUAUCAAUGCUCGCCUUGUUUUAGCACGGUGUAACUCAGCUUCUCUCUCUCUCUCUUUCUCACUUGCAGCAAGAAUUUUUCAUGAUACUAUGUCAUGUACAAAUAAUGCGGAUUGUAUUAUUUACAGUUUGACAAAUUAGCUCAUCAAAAAUGUUGACGAACACUGACUCCACACACCAAAGUUUUCAGAGGUUUCUAAGGACAACAAGCAAAAGGCACCAAAGCAUGAGUUUAAAACUCUGGAGAAUAUAAAUGAAAAGCUGGACAGACAAAGGCACUUCUGAGUUACAGGAUGUCACCAUCUUGGUUUCAACUUGUCCCACUAAAGAACACUUCUGGCCCAAGUGAAUUUUAGAGGUGGGGGUGACAUGAUCAAGUUUGAGGAAAAGGAGCCAAUGGUUUCCAACUAACUGCAUUAGUAAUGAAAGAUUUUUUUCUGCUUCCCGUUACCGAGUUGUCUUGACUAAACUUCACCCAUAGUGAUGUCAAAACUUUGUAUUUUUCUCUUGCUGUAGAUGGAAAGUAAAAGAACCAAAUUAGGCAGCACAAAAUGUAGAAAGUAAUGGAAGUAAAUCAACCUGAAACUUGGAGUUACUGUGCUUCAUUUCCACUGCUAACACGAGAACUACUUUCUUAACUACCAGGGAAGUGGAAGGAUAUCUAAGAAAGUGAAGAUGUCCUGAAUCCACCUUAAAAGCAGGUUUUUUUUUGCCUGUAAUGCAGCGUGAUAAAUAUUGCGUUCCAGGGGGAUGAUGUUCAUUUGUGACAUCCUCAUUUCAUAUUCUCACCAGUUGGGCAUCGGCUCAGAUUUGAGGUGUAAUAUGGGCCUGCCAAAUCAGCGGUAGCCCCAUUACUCAUCCCCCUCUGCGCUGUCUCCUGGCUCGUGCUCCGGCGCUAAUGCAGAUUACAGGGAUAUAUGAGGGCUAUUUUGUUCGCUGCAGGGUGGAAACGAUCACAGGCAACCCCAUCCCUCUCUGAUGCACGCCUCUACAUCUGUUCCCCCCCUACGUAAGCCUAUCUAGAGAUCCAUCAGAGCCCCCCCUCAUGCCCUUAUCGGAUCUGAGGCUGCCUAAUCUAUCGCUCAUCAAUUAUAGAUGCUAUGUGUAAAAAAUUGGGUCACUAUAUCAACCGCACUGUGGAUCCUCAGAGACAUUGUUUGCUAAAGUGAUUAGUGGCUUUAGUUUAGAUACAGUUUGUGUGCUUUAUAAGUGUUUAAUGGUCCAUUUAUGAUACAUGAGAAUGGACUGAGGAGGAAUAAUGCGUAACAAACAUUUAUUUUCUACGAUAAUGAUAGUGUGGUUCAAACUUUAUUUGUGUACAGAGACAAGCAAAGUUGAGCAAAUUACUCAGAAAAAUCCAGACUUUUUAUGAUCUCAGUGGGAUUUUGCAGGUGGAAAUCCACACAGGUGCCAACCCCUAUAAUCGAUAAAGCAAUUUUUUUUCUCCGCUGCAAGACAAUCCAACGUGAUUAACGGGCUCGAGGUCCCAUAUUAGCACUCGAAAACCCCUCACAACUUCAAUUCAUUUCCAACUUGCUCCCUGGCAGAGAAUCACAGACGUAUUAUUCAAAUAUCUAAUCUAUUUCAUGACCAAGACACGUCCAAAAAAAACCCACGCAUUUAAUCUUUAUGCAAGUCUCUCCUCAUGUGUUGGGUAAAUAGACCAUUCAUCAUAUUAUUGGGCUUUUUACAGCUUGACUGUUUGAGCGAUCUGUCUCUCAAACUGCCUCUCUCCCCGGCAGCCCCAUCAAUCACUUUUCAAUGAAGAUGUCACAGCUCAUUGUGUGGAGAGUUAUCCCAAACAGUUUUAGAUGACAAAUUAAAAGCGAAACUUUUCUUUUUUUUUUUGUCCAUGAAGAUGGUCAGAUCCUCUCUCCAAAAUCAUGCGCAUACACGUGCCGGCAGCCAUAUGCCUCACUUAGGUUUUUCCACCUACUGUCAACAAUUUUCACCUCAGCGGAGAUGUUAGCAGGUGCAGGAAUUUGCUCACUAUUAACUUUUCAUUAGGCAAAGUAAACCGCACAAGUCAUCACAUGUAGACGCUGCUCAACGUGGGACAUAAUUGGUGCAAGGUUAAUGGCCAAAUUAAGUAGCAUGUCAGUAAAAUCUCAGUGUGAGCUCUUUUUAAGGAGGAGGAAAACUUUUUUAAAGACUGACAUCUCUCAGAAGAUUGACAGCUGAAGUUUCUGCCAGAGUUUGUUUGUUAUCGGUCUGCAAACAAAAGAUAAUCAUCCUUAAUUCAAUAAUAAAGCCAUCAGAUCGACUCAUUAAAUAACCAAACAGCCACAGCAUUGGUUGAAUUCUUAUUAUGUCUCUGAAAUUACCUCACGUCUCUUUCUCUCUCUCUCUCUUUCUCCUGUUUUUGUUGCAGGAUCUUUGCAGGAGUUGAUGCCCAGAGCGGCGGCGGCAGGAGUCAAAGCGUUACCUCGACUGACGCAGGAGUGUGUUUCAAAGCGCAGACGAAAGAUUCAGGGAAUCACAUUUGAUCCCACACGCGCUUGCAUGAUUGCUUGCUCAUCACACUUCCCUCUAAAAAUCCCUCCUUCAUUACUUUCCUUCUCGACAAGCUUCUGCAUAGUGCUGAGUCAUCGAAUCAGAAGGUAGGCUUCGGAAAAUGAGCUGCUUAGUCUGAUCAUUGCAGGGGAGAUUACCGAAUAAAAUGGUGUAAGAAGCAAUGAAGUGAUGGAAAAAAUAUCAUAGCAACAAAACAAUCGUACUGUCAGAAAAGCACAAAAGCAUCUUGAUAAUCAGGUGUCAGCUGCAAAGGGCUUAUUUUGCUGAAGGUAAAUUAACACAUACACUGUGUACUAGGUCCCGACCGAUUAUCGGCGAGCCAAUUAAAUUGGCCAAUUUUAGCCCAUUUGAGACUAAUCGUAAUUGGCCAAAACUCGCUGAUUUUUGCAGAUAUUUUCAGAAAUAAAAUGCAGAGAAUAAGAUUUGGUUUCACUUCAAAAAUGUUCCGCCAUUUGAAAAGUUCCCGACUUAUCCUGUAGAUGGUGCAGUGACCUCAUGACCAUCUUCAUCCACUAACUACCUCACAGCACAGAAGAAUGACGGAUCUGAAGCAGGCAGCUCAGGGACGCACGGAGGAGAGUGGUCCGCCUCAACGGUAAAUAAACCAGCUUGUGAAAUACACAAUAGUUAGUUACUCACCUGCUAUUAGCCUUGCUACACUGUUAGCCGUGCCAGUAACAAUAGAAUAAACGACGGUACACAUUACGUGAUCGAGCUACUUCUCUUACUGAGGCAGCUGUAUGACUCCAGAUGAGACCGGACCGGAAAUGAGUAACGUGAGUUAAGACGC
This is a non-coding RNA of Xyrichtys novacula (pearly razorfish), 60640 nucleotides long. Lineage: Eukaryota; Metazoa; Chordata; Actinopteri; Labriformes; Labridae. The record is from the annotation of a GenBank genome assembly.